RNAcentral lists this long non-coding RNA (51938 nucleotides) under Eutrema salsugineum. Its description in RNAcentral is "long non-coding RNA (ESAL_LNC001972)". The record is from RNAcentral. Lineage: Eukaryota; Viridiplantae; Streptophyta; Magnoliopsida; Brassicales; Brassicaceae.
AUAACCAUCCUAAGCCUCAGUCCACCAGAAGAUCAUCUUCUUCUUCCACAUUUCAUUCAGCUGUGUUUAAUGCCGGCCUUGAUCAUCAUGGUUCUUCUGAUCAACCCAAUUCCAAUAAUAGCUUCCAUCACUCUGAUUCCUUUGCAAUCCAACAAGAGGAUAAUACUACUUCUGGUUCUAUUGGAGACGAUGAGUUUGAGCGAGGCUCAUCGGUUAUCAGCAGAGAAGAAGAAGAUUGUGGCAGUGAACCUGAAGCAAAGAGAUGGUAAGAUCAUCCAUCAAUGUCUAAAUUCGUCACUCUUUAAACAACCUAGAAUGAGAAAGUUUCUAACAUUCUUAAUGUUUGUUUUUUUGUGUGUUUUAGGAAAGGAGAACAUGAAACAAACGGUGGGAAUGGUAAUGGAAGUAAGACAGUGAGAGAGCCAAGAAUUGUCGUGCAGACAACAAGUGACAUCGACAUUCUUGAUGAUGGUUACAGAUGGAGAAAAUACGGCCAAAAGGUCGUCAAGGGAAACCCAAAUCCAAGGUAAUAACAUAAAGAUUUGAACUUCUCACUAAUUACAAUUAAUCAAGGCUCUAAGAAUCUAACAUUUGAUGUUUCUUUUGACUUGAUGAAUCUAACAGAAGCUACUACAAGUGCACAACCAUCGGUUGCCCCGUGAGAAAACAUGUUGAGAGAGCAUCACACGAUCUGAGAGCGGUAAUAACAACCUACGAAGGGAAACAUAACCACGACGUACCUGCAGCUCGUGGUAGCGGUUACGCCACAAACAGACCGUCACAGGAUUCUUCUUCAGCCCCAAUUAGACCAGCUGCUAUUGCUGGUCACUCCAAUUACACUACUUCUUCUCAAGCACCAUAUACGCUUCAGAUGCUGCAGAACAACACUAAUUCCGGGAGUUUUGGUUACGCUAUGAACAAUAAUAACAACAACCUUCAAACGCAACAAAACUUUGGUGGUGGUGGUGGGUUCUCUAGAGCAAAGGAAGAACCAAACGAGGAGUCCUCGUUUUUUGAUUCGUUUUUGUCGUGAAGAAGAACCUAUCUUUCCUUUUGUACAUUUCUGCCAGAAAAGGGUUUAUCUACUUACUAGUAAUCCUGCAGAUACUAAGACUAUAGGCUAUAGUCCAUAGAGAAAUUAUUUCAUUUGUUUUUUUUCCGUGGCUCUUGCGAGCUUUCACACGCCUGUAAUAUCUUUACUGUUUUUGUACCAUACAAGUAGAAAAAUGGAAUAAAGCCAGUCAAUUUUCACAUGUUUUCACUUUGUAUAAUAAUGUAUCAAAAGAAUAACACACACACAGUUCAAAGACGCGAAUAACAGAAGCAGUACUGUCUUGAUCAGUAUCAGCUAUAUGAACACAUAUAAAAGAAUGAGAUUUACACGUAUUGCAGAGAUGACCACGGUAUAAAAACGAUUGAAAGCACAUAUUGCAGAGAGAGGCUUGAAGCGGAUUCAGAUAAAAGAAUGAGUGGAGAGUUUGUAACCAGAGAGGAGAGCAGAGAGAGCUAAAGAGACGAAGGCGAAGAUAGCCAUGCUGAUAGCUGAAGCAGCGGAAUCAGUGAAUAUGUUAUCUUGACCUUCUCUGAAUCUGUUGGUCAAUGGAAUUGCAGAAGACGCAGCUGAUAUGAGAAGAUACGCAACAAUCUGCAAUUACAAAAAAAACAAAACUUUUUAACUGUUUUACGAAAAAGUGAUCCUCUUUUCAAUUUCUUUACAGUUUCGGUAUCUUCGUUACCUGGUCGCCGGAGAAAUCGAGCAAGAUGGAAGUCCGGCGAUCGAAGAAUUCCCUUUUCGAGAAAUGAGCAAACGUUUGCCACGCAGUGUAUAAUGUUGAAAUUAUCGCAAUCGCCAAUACAUAUCUGAAGAAAAUAAAAAAACUUGAGAGUCGAAAAAUGAGAAAUCUCAAAACUUUAACAGAAAUUCCCCGUGAAUUUCAAAACCCAAGUAUCAAAAUCGAUCAUUUCUGUAUCGGAAUUAAUGGAAUCGGACCUGUACUCUUCGUAAUCGUCGAAGUUUCGGCCGUAUCCAUGUUUAUUAGAUACCAUAAUAAUGAAUGCAAGGAGAGAGAACAAGAGACACACUCCUCUCAUAAUCGGAGACGCUUUCUUUAUCAAAUCCUCCCUUUUCCAUCUCUGAGUAAUCGCAGAAAACGACGACGUCUUAGUCUCCGUCGUCUCCGCCGGUGCCUCCACGUCGGCGGCAACUUCAACCGGUUUCUGGUUAUCGGGAUUUGUCAUGCCGAGAAUUCUCCGAUAGAUCUCAAAACUCCGAUCGGAAUCGGUUUGCUUUCAGUUCUUAUGAAUGCGAAGAAUCGGGAGAAGGGAUAACAAACUUGGAAGAAAAGAAAACUCCAAAUUUUUUGGUUGUAAAAAUAUGAUUUAAGGUUUGGGGUUUUAUUAAGCUAAAUGAGGAAAGCGCGUAACGGCGGGAGUGAUUAAGUUAAUGAAAGUGAUUAAACAGUUUAUGAAGCGCACGGCGCGUAACAAAAAGAUUCAUUUACAAAGCGUAUAAGUUAGUCGUGGCCUGCAUUUACAGACAGCGAAUCCUAGGAAUCUCAUUGGCGGACUAAAAAAUAAAAAUAAAAAAUUCGGUUAAACUUUGUUUUCCCAAUAAAAAAUCCUGACUCUUCUAAAGACUGAAGAGAAACAUAAAAUCCGUGUAAAAGAAGAAAAAUCGUUGUGUUUAAUUAGGGACGUUAAAGAAUAAUUAUAUUUACCAUGAAUUUGUUUGGAGAGUAUUUUCUAGAAACAUUGAAUAUUUGUCGUUUUAUUGUAAGUUUGAUGAAUACGGUGAUUAUCAUUAACUCAUCCUAUAAAUAUCAAGCCAUAUGUAAUUUGAGAAGUUGUGAUGCAUGUUACAUAAAUUUCAUGCAAAGAAGAAUUCGUGUUCCACAAGUUCAAGAAAUAUAUAGUUUAGAAAGUUUUAGGGUCUUUAUGACCAUAAAAAAGUUAUAGGGUCUUUAGAUAAAUUAUUAUAGGCUGUCAUUUGUUUCUUUUUUUGUUUUUGUUUUGGUUAAAACACUAAGUUUUUCUUCAUGACGAUUAUCUCUUUGGUCGUAUCUCGAAUCAAACUCGAUUUUAAGAUUGUAAACCUAGUAAAUCAGAUAUAGUGUACUAUAGAAUUAAGAUUUUGUGCGGACGUUGCAUGAUAAAUUCAUAGAUUAUCAAUGUUGUUUUAGAAAUAGAUUUAUGCUAACAUUCUGUACUUUCAAGAAGAAUUCGAUCAGGAAGAUCGUUAUAUAUACAAGCUUUCAAAACUACGAUAUAAUUCUAAUUUACUAAUUACAAGAAAGCACAAGUUUAGUUUAGCAAAAAAAAAAAGAAAAGAAAGCACAAGUCGUAUGUUUUGUUGGUUUGUCAAUGAUAGAUGAACUUCUCGCAUACUUAAAAACAAAGCAAACAAAAAAAACUACUUUACGGGGGAGAUUAGUUAUUUCGAAACUCAAGACAGUAGGUCAGGGUUAUAAUAGUUCAACAAAGUUUACAACAAGUGGAGUUCUCAAUUUUUAAGGAAGUUUAAUGAUGGAUAACAUCGUGUCCUGGACUCCUGGUUACGUUUUGAAUACAAGACCUUGACUAAGUCUACCACACUCUUGUAGUCUUCAGUAUGUUGUUUCAGAAUAUUGUUAACGACUUGGAGAACUUUAGAACUCGGCUUAGACCAAAAAAAAAAAACUUUAGAACUCGGCGUGUCAGAUUUUGCAUUGACCACCAUUAGAUAUGCUUAUCAGCAGGCAUCACAUCGAUUUGUGGCAUUGUAAGAUGUUUGAAAUUUUAAUUUAAUGUAAAUUCAUUUUACCAAACAUAAUUUAACUUUGAUUAAUUCUUAAAGAGCGUAAUUGUUUUUCAAUGCCAUAUGUGUGAUAACCUACAAAGUCUUUCAUAUUUUUUAUUAUUAAAUGCUCCAUUAUUUAAUUUAAAGGAACAUUAAGUCGGAAAAAUCAACCUUCUUACACAAAUAACAAAGGAAAAAUCUUACGUCAAUUUAUAUCUUAUCUCAUAAUAUUUUUUAAUAUAUAUAUAUAUAUAUAAUGUUCAACCAAAAAAAUAUAAAAUAUAAAUUAAUCCUGUCUUUGGCUUAUACCGAUAACAUGCAUGUAAUAUUAAAUUUGAGCUAAGGUGAAUGUUAUAAUUUGAUGUAGCUUGUAGUAAAAAAAAUUAAAGAAAUUUAUUGUUUCUUUCCUCUUAAAUCACACGAUAUAAUUUUAAAAACUGGACUAAUUUUUAUUCUUAUAAUUAGAUAUAAAAAAGCAAAAAUCAACUCAACCUUUCAUACAUAUGGUUUUCUAUAAUGCUGAAUUAACUUUUGAAUUAUCAAGUUUAUAAAAAAAAUACAUAAUUCAAAACUGUAAACUAGCCAUCACACAUUAUAACACAAAUUUAAUGAUUGAUAACAUUUUCUUACAUCAAUAAGUCAAAUUAAAUUAAAGAUAUCACAUGCUAUGCUAUUAAUCACACCCUUUAUUUACUGUAUCUCGACAUAUGUCAUAUGUAAGUUAUUGCAGAAAAUAUAUAUUAAAUAAGGGAUAUUUUGAAAAAAAAUUAUGUAUUUGGAUAAACCUAAAACGAAGGGGGCGCAUCAAAGGCACCACCGACUAAAUAACAAUAGGUUUGGGAUCAUAUUAGACCCAGCCCCGAUUCACCGUCCGGUUCUCCUUUCUCUUCAUCGUCAUCAAUCUUUCGUUUUCCUGUUUACGGUUUCUUCGCUGCCAAGAAUCGAACGACGCGAAUUGGAUCCGAAUCUCAAAUCUGCACUCCAACUCCAAUCACGAGCCCUUUGCUUUUCCCCGAUUAUCUCCUUUUGAUAUCGGUAAGUUUCCUUGUCUCUCUCUGCCCACUAUCUCUCUUGAGUCGUUCACAUUGCACCGUGACUUAAUUCGAGCUCGCUCCCGAACUGGGUUUCCCUGGUUCUGGUCGCUAAUUGUAUAAAUCGAAUCGAUUUUUCCAUUUUUGAAUGUGGGCGGUCUUCAAUUUGAUUCGAUUGUUCGUGCAUUAGGUGUUUUGUUGAUUCUCCAAGCCCUAAAUUUUUGCUGAAGUUCUUUGAGCUGGGGCUAGUAUACUUCGAUGGUAUACAACCUGGAAGGGAGAAUAAGGUUAGGGUUUUCUGUCGUGAGCACAUCCCCUGAGUUUCCGAGUUUAGGGUUUUUUUUUUGGAAUUGAUUCGGUCUGCUAAGAAGAAGAAAAGGGUUGGUUUGAGAGGAUAAUGUGUAUAUUGUGUGUUAUUCAAAAGUGGUCUCGCCGGGUUGCAACGAUGCUGCCUUGGUUGGUUUUACCGUUGAUUGGACUAUGGGCUCUGUCUCAGCUUCUUCCACCAGCUUUUCGUUUCGAAAUAACUUCUCCGAGGCUAGCUUGUGUAUUUGUGCUUUUGGUUACUUUGUUCUGGUACGAGGUCUUGAUGCCUCAGCUAUCUACUUGGCGGGUGCGGAGAAAUGCUCGUCUUAGGGAGAGAAAGCGAUUUGAAGCUAUGGAGCUGCAAAAGCUAAAGAAAACCGCUACACGGCGUUGCCGUAACUGCUCAACACCUUACCGUGACCAGAAUCCAGGUGGUGGACGGUUUAUGUGCUCAUAUUGUGGGCAUAUAUCUAAGAGGCCUGUUUUAGACAUACCUGUGCCUCCAGGGUUAGGGCUUUCUGGUUCUGGAAUUUUGAAGGAUCUUGUUGGAAGAGGUGGUAAGAUGUUGAAUGGAAAGGGAUGGAAUGAGAAUGGAUGGAUGCACGGGCCAGAAUGGUCAGAAAACAGCACAUGGACUAGCGAGUCAACCUAUUGGCGGAAUAAUAGUGGUAGUACAUUUGGAGAAGAUGAGAAUUGUUUGGGGGAUAGAUCAUAUCCUGGUGGCGUUGUUUUUGCUUGCCGACUCCUUACUUCUUUUUUUAUGAGCAUUAGGUGGCUUUGGAGAAAGAUUUUUAGCUUUAGCUCUUCGGUUGAUGAGUCGUCAACUGAUGCUGACCAGAGGCGAUUACUGUCGAGACAGGGUGAGAAUGGGACCAGCUAUCAUGAGAGCAGGGUUGAGAAAGCACGCAGAAAAGCUGAGGAGAAAAGACAAGCUAGGCUGGAAAAGGAGCAUUUGGAGGAAGAAGAGAGAAAACAACGAGAGGAAGUCGCGAGACUAGUGGAGGAACGGAGGAAGUUGAGAGAUGAAAAAAUUGAAGCCGAGAAAUGCAGCAAAUCAUCACCUGGUUCCAAGGAAAAGGAUAUUAAAAAAGAGGCAGAAAAGAAGCGCCAGGAGAGGAAGAAGGAAAAAGAUAAGACCUCUAGUAAGAGCAAUUCCGAUGCAGAAGAGCUUGACAAGAGAAUAGGAAAGGAAACUGAGCAUAAGCGUGAGCUUGAUAAGAAUAAUCAUUCCGAACAUCAGAGGCAUGCGUCUGAUAAUUCCAGGAGCCCCAUGGAAAGGAGACAUGGGCACGGGGUAGAUAAUAAUGGUACUAGUAACACUAACACGACAGGAGCUGGCGGUAGGUACUUUGAUCGAGUGAAGGGUACGUUCUUCUCUUCUUCUAAGGCUUUUACAGAUAACCGGUUCUUUGGAAGAGGUGUCAAUAUGUCUGCUACAAUUGCAAAAGAGAAUAAGCCCAUCGGCUCUACAGAUCAUUCUCAUGCAUCUGCUCAUACGAGGCAUAUUAAUCCUCCUGAAUUUGUGGCUGGAAAAUCUGGUUCAAAUGGAGGAGAAAGGAAUACUAAUCGUCCUGUAAGUGUUCUUGCCAAAUUGCUUAUGUCAUUAUGAUCCGGUUCAUGAAAGCAGUCUACUUUUUUGCAGUUAUAAAUCACCCGUCUCUUUUGAUUUCAUCUAUUUUUUGUUUGUUAAGUUGAUAAGUUUGUCAUAUAAUUUUCCAAAGUCGUUAUGUUCUUGAAGUAUGUUCAACUUAGAUUUGGUUCUAGUUUUCUUCAGCUUGUUUUAUAAGGACACUGAUAAAUAUUAUGAUGUUCCCUCAGGUUAUUACUGAGCCGCAGCCAAGUGGAGAACCUAAAAAGUCAUGGCAGCAACUAUUCACCCGUUCGCCGUCUGUGCCUGCUUCCUCCAGUGUUAAUGUUAUAAGCCGACCUAGUACAAAGCCCAAAACCGUUCAGAAUUCACAGGCUCCUUGUCAAGAUCAUUCAAUACGAACCUUUGACAAUCCAAUCAGUUUUGGGCUCCCAUCACCAUUCACUAUGCCAACAUACUCUAGCGGAUCGACUAUCGGUAGCUUAGGUUUCUCAUCUGAAAGAGAUAUUGUUCUCUCUCAGGCUGGGGAAAAUGCUCGUCCUUUUAUCCCCGAAGAAGAGCAUUUUGAAGAUCCAUGUUAUGUUCCGGAUCCAAUAUCUCUACUGGGACCUAUUUCAGAAUCACUUGAUCUAAGAGCUAAGUUUGAAACUGGUGUUGGACUGGAAAAACCCCAUUUAUUGAAGAAAUCUCCGAUUGAGUCUCCCUUGUCAAGAUUACGAGUUGCAGAUGAAAAACAGGUUAAUGAUGGAAGCUGGCAAAUGUGGAAGACCACCUUUGGCCAAGACCUACUUCUACCUUCAGAUAAUACUAGACCUAACGAGGAGAAUGGCUUGCAUCAUGUGCCUCAUAAUAGGACGUCAUCAUUAUUUGCAAAAGAUGACCCUAUUCACAGUACUUAUUCACACAGGAAGGACUGUUUUGAAAAUGAUCAGAGAAGUGGCACGUUCAGCCCCGUUGCUGGUCCAAGCAAUCAUGAUCCUUGGUCGCAGAAAAUGUUUCUCCCAGCAUCAUCCGGCACAGAGAGUCUUUUGUCGCUAAGUCGACCAGAAGAACCAGGCCCGAACAAUGUUGCAUUCAUGAGUCCAACUGGGUUGGCUCCGGAGAAUCCAUUCGAACACGCUUCUCCGAAUCACUGGCUCAAGUAAGACUAGCUUCUUCUUGCUUUUUCCCUAGGCUAUAGAACAGCCUGUUUGAAUGGUUCUGUGACACACUGAGUUUCUGUCUGGAUCGCAUUGGUUAUAGAUUAGGUAGGUUGUUUAGAACUUGGCUACAUUUGGAACAAUGGCAAAGAAGUGUAAUGAUUUUGGGUAUUGUUAAUAAUGUGCAGGAAAGUGAAGAAGACUGGGGAUGGGACUGGUAGGCAAUUUGUGGAGGGUCAAUUCCUAAACCAAGAUGUACCGUCGUUUUGGUAGUCAGAAAUUCAAGAAAGAAACAAAAAAACAAAAACAAAAGAAAAAACAUUAAAGAUCAUUUUGGGACACAACUUUUGCAGAUAUACCUCGUCUGUCUUUGUCCUCUGGUUUUCAUCAAUCUAAGAUUUUAAGUUUUUACCUAAAAAAGACGGUUAGCUUCGAUAGACUUACACAGAGGCGGACCCAUGCCUUCCCUAAUGCCACAUUUUUAAUAUUUAGAUCUAGAAAAUAACAAAAACAAUAAGUUUCAAAAUCAUAUUUAAGUAGUAAGAUCUACUUUUAUUUCGUAAUUGGUUCAAUCUAUCUUUUUAUUAUGUAUUAGAACUAGAUGUUUUUAUAUAUCAAAGUAUAAUCUAACAACAUUUUUAUGACGAAAUCAUAAACCAAAAUCAAACAAAAUAAUGAAAAUAAAUGCAUAGCCAUAAUAAUAGUUACAAUAUUUAAUUACACCAGAAUAAAGAUUUUGUGAUAACAAAAACGUUAUUACGGUUUUUAACAAGGUCGACAUCCUUAUACCAAUUAUACUCAUGAUGGUGUCAUGCAAACCUUUCAUUUGCUCUUCCAUCGAUUAGUUCAUGUGGAAGAUGUCAACCGCAAUAAUCAUCACUACAACUAUAUAUCAUUAGUAGUUUCUUCUUCUUCUUCACCAUAAAUACGAUACUCUCAUUAUCUCAUAUCCUCUACCAACAUGAAAAAUCACAUUAAUAGAACUGUGAAGUGCCAUCAUCGCUAUAACAAACUUCAUCUCUUCAUGUAAACUAUAUUUUAUAUGAUUAUCUGUUAUUUUGCUUUAUAUAUAUCUCAAUACAUGCACUUUUUAACAGUUUGCGUGGAGCUUGUUCUUUUCGUCUCAAAUAAUGGUAUAUGUGACACGUCUAUUCUCCUUGUCCAAACAGUAUUCUAUUGGUCUUUCUGAACGUCUUGGCAUGUUUUAUGGGGUUAUGAUGGCGUCUAAGAAUAUGAUUAACAAGGAAGUCAAAUAUUUUGAUCUACACGGAGAUUUUUUUUUUUUUGGUAAAAUCCUAGAAGGAGAUUUAUGCUCUCAAAAUAACGAAACAAGGAGAUUCAUAGGUUUAUCGAAGUAGCGGCAACGAUUUGAUCCAUGGUUCUAUCAGAAACUUUCAUAGCUUAGUUAAAACAACCUCAAUAGCUCAAUACAAGACCACAACCCAAAUGUAAUUGGUCCCCAAAAAAAAGACCUCACCCAAAUGCUCUUCCGAUUCCGAAACACAAUGCAGUAACGAUAAAUAUUACAAACGGUGUUGCAUGUCCCUUACCAAAAAACAAAAGGCUCAAGUUUGCAAAACACACAGUCACACACACACACAAGACUACAGAUUUCAGAUCACAGUCUUAUUCAAAUUCUCUCCGAUGAAGAAAGCAAAUUGUUUUUUUGUUAAUUAAUAUUUUUCACGAAUUGAAACUAAAAAAUUGAAUCCUUGUUCGUGCUCUUCCUUUAUUCUUCUUGUCAUUUGUAUUUAUAUUUACAAAGAGGCUCUCUGCUUCAAUGUAAACCGAACCGGUUCACCCAUUAUGUUUCUGGAAUCCUCAAUGAAUUUUUAAAAAUUAAAACUGGUUCUCUUGCUCAACCGCUGAACCUCACGAAUGCAUUACGUUGGAAAUCUCCCGAGUAAAUUGGUUUUGUGUUGAAACCAUUUUACGGUUUAGUUAGGUACCCUAUAAACCGGUUGAUUGAUCAAACGACGAAGCUUUUGCCUUAGCUCGUCGGCCCAAACUAGGCCCACAUCUCUUUGCUUGUUCUUCAUCUCCACCAUCACUAAUUCGUCUGUUAAACGGCGAAUUUUGACUACGAUAUUAGCUACUCCCUUUGGCCCUUCCAGCUUUAUCGCUCUCUCCUUCUUCUUCGCAAUCCUCAGAUUCAACUGCUUCGCUACCUCCACGACCUUUCCCAUAAUCUCCGCCGGAAACUCGUCGGAGACGAACUGAUCGCAGUGAUCCGGCGUCACGAAGUUUCCGAACAGACCGGCGAGAUUCGCCGUUGACGCCGACGCGAUUAACUCGAAGGCGUUUAGUUGAUCCCCGUUUUCCUCCAGAUCGUAAUCGUCGGCUUGGAUCCCUAUGAUUUCACUCGGAUCUACUCCAUGAUUGAACCACGGAUCUUUGAGAAUCUCCUCGACGGUGAUCCGUUUUUCUGGAUCUGGCUCCAAUAGACGGCGGAGAAGCUGCCGGAGAUCUGAAGAAGUCCAAUCCGGCAUCCUGUAUUGAGCCUUGUGGAUUUUCCGGUAGAGUCCCAUGAUGUUAGGAUCUCGAAACGGCAAGUAACCGGCGUUGAGAAGGAACAAAACGACGCCGCACGACCAGAUAUCCGCCUUAGAUCCGUCGUAGCCUUUCUUCAGGAGAAGCUCCGGCGCAACGUAAGCCGGAGUUCCGCAGAGCGUGUGGAGCAUACCGUCGGCCUGGAUCUGCUCUCUCAUCGCACUGAGACCGAAGUCGGAGACCUUCAGAUCUCGAUUCUCGUCGAGGAGAAGAUUCUCCGGCUUCAAAUCGCGGUGGAAAACACCCCUGGCGUGACAAUACCUCACGGCGGAGAUCAACUGCCGGAAAUAUUUCCGGCUUAGACUCUCCGUGAAUCGAUUGCUGGUGACUCUGGAGAAGAGCUCACCGCCUUUGGCUAGCUCCAUGACGAAAUAGAUCUUCGUCUUGGUGGCGAGGACUUCGGAGAGGAGCACGAUAUGAGGAUGACGGAGACGGCGCAUGAUAGAUAUUUCUCGCUUAACGUGCGCCGUGAGCCCGUCUUUUAAACGCUUCUUUUGGACGACUUUGAUCGCAACGCUUUCGCCGUUAUUUUGAAGAUCCUCCGCCUGGUAGACUUUGGCAAACGCGCCGAUUCCGAGAAGCUUCCCGAGAUUGUACUUACCGAACAACGCCGAUUGGUUAUCAUCUCCGACGAGGUUAACGAUGAUAGAAUCGGAAGAGUCUUCGGCCAUUUAACGAUUAAACGCAAAUGGAAACAGAGUAUACAAAUGAAAUAAUACAUGCGCGCGAUGCCUCUUCUUAUUGAAACUCCUUAACUUGCCACGUAAGUUAUUUUGUUUAGGUUUUAAAUAUUCGUUUGACUUUUUGUGGAUUAAAUAAUUAAAAGAAAGAAAAAAUCAGCAGUUAGGACAAUUUCAAUGCAAAAGUUUUACUAACUCCGAAUUACAGUGGCGUAUGUAUUAACAAGGUUAGAAAAAGAGUCAUUUUAUCCCUAAUACUAGUAACUUAAGAUUCAAGGAACUGCUUUUUCAUGAUUAUUUUUUCCAAUGUUUGGUUAAUGUUUUCAAUUACCGGCGGCAAAAAAAUAUCUACCUUCUGAGGUCAACCAAGACAUUUUAAUCCCACUAUUCCAGGUGCGAUUCAAGUCUUUAUUAAUAUUUUAUAUGUAGGGGUUGAGAAAACUCGAUAAAAAAUAAACAUUCCUUGUUGUUGUUGACAAAAAAACACCUUUAUCAAAAAGAAUUUAAAAAUCGAUUUUAAAAUAUUUGAAUAAUUUUGAAAACACAACGUGGAUUGACGUUACUGUCGUUGAAUGCUAAGCAAUUAAUACUAUUCAUUAAGAUGGUUUAAGCUACAUUACUGGUUUUAGAUGGUAGUUAAUUUGGUUCAAAGGCUGGUCGAACAAAUUCAUUUAUCCAAUCACAAAAAAAAAAAAAAACACACACACACAAAAUGUGUUUUGGUUUAUUUAGUCGGGAGGGCAGCUCUAAUAGACGGAUCAUCAUUUUGUUAGUGUGACCUGCAGAUUUUUAUAGUAACGCCAAAUGCACCUAAAUAGACAUGAUGAUAUUUGGGUCUACAUCACUACAUGUAUAAAUUUGGGAUACAAACCACCGGUUACAAACCGUUUGCAAGAUUGGUUAUAAAUGGAGCGGUUUGUUUCUAAUUGCCUCUAGCUACCAAUCAAACCAAUUACAUAUUCCAGAAUAACGUUUAAAUUUGAGUGACAAAAACAAUAACAAUUAAAUCUAAAAUAGUAUUUGAACUUCAAUGUCAGCAUAAAAUAAUCACUUUCGGAUAGCUGGAUAGUUAACUAAAAUAGGGAUUUUAAUAAUUGAUGAAGUUAUGUUAUACUAAUCUAUUUGAAACUGGAUUCGUGGAUCCCAGUCAUUCGUGUGUGGAGUAAAAUCAUACUAGUAGCCCUUUUGGUGUUGAAAAAGCCAAAAUUUAAUCCUUACACGUGAACUUGUUCAAAAAAUGUCAUCUUAAAAAAAUUAUUAAUGAUAGAUACAAAGGCAAAAAACUCGACAAAGUAAACAUACUAAAAAAGAAAAACUCUUGCUCGUUCAUGGGUUCCAGUAUGUGAAUUAGUUGUAAUAGCUUUCGUAACGGUAUUUACUAUCUACAUAUUUACAUUUUAAUUUGAUAAAUUUUUGUCAAAAUUUUAAUGACUUUAUUGCACCAACUACUAGGAAGAAUUUGGGGACGUUCAUUUCAGAGAGAUCUUAGUAAAAAUGUUGCUCCUAUAUUUAUUGUAGCUGUCAUUUAAGAAGUCCAUUCUCUUCAUCAUGAUAGUAGAAAACACCUAAGAUGUUAUGAAACAAUAAUAACAACUUUUUGUAAGAACAAUGUUAUAAGAUACCUUUUAUCAAAAAAAAUUAUAAGAUAAAUCCAACCCUAGAGACAUAUUUGCUAUAUAUAUAACACCCAUAUUGUCAGGUAAUUUUGGUUGUAUCAUCCGGUCGUGGAGUUAUAUAGCCGACCAUAAAACUUGGCCAUUGAAUCAACCAUCAGAACGAUUUACCUAGCUGCCGAGUCAACCAUUUUUUAUUGUGAUUUAUCCAUGGGAGCAUCAAUUCAUUUGAGAAAAGAAUAUACAUCACCAUUAUAUUUUUAUUAUUGAUCUUCUCAUCGUUAUCGUCAUCACGAAUAACGUCUUUGCUUCAAAGAGACACCGUCUUAAUUCCACACCGUAAGGGUGUACGUACGUAAUCCAUCGUCCGUACCAUCAAAAACCAUACCCCCACCGUCACUCUUAAUCUAUGGUGUUUCUACUUCGUCAAACAUCAUCAUGGUUUUGAUUUCUUUUUUAUUAAAAAAUCGACGAAGCAAUGUUCUAGAAAAAUCCGUCACUAAGAAUUGGACGUAUCUUCUUCGUUUUCGUGAAAAGAGCAACAUAAAAAAAUAAUCUUACAACCAUUUCAUCAAUACUGAGGGAUUGGUUUAGCUAAUUUUUCAAAGUUGUUUUUCCUUUUUCUUUUUGUUGUCGGCUUAAGAAAGUUUAGAUUACGAAAGUACAUUAAAUUCUUUUUUUAUAAAACAAUAGUUUCAUCCAAACACAUCAUCAUUAAGAGAGCCGAAACGUCUUCAAGAACUCACACAAAAGGACAACAACAUAAACUAUGUAUUACAGAUUGCUUAUAACGAAAAUUUGCGUUAUCUAAAUUCAGUCCAUGUGAGUCCAACAAAAAAAUCAAUCAUUUCUACACUGGAAUCCACAAAUUUCUGAUUUGGGUUUACAUAUACAACCAAAGCUUCCACCUAAUAGGUAAACACACUUUACCAGUCGAUAAACCAGUAAGAUUCAAAUUUAUGCAUGGCUUCCCCACAUACAAGAAUAUAUGUAUAUGUGUAUAUGAAUAUUCUAAGUGGUCAUAUGGAAUCCAUAAAUCCAAAAAGAUUGGAAUAAAAAGAGUAAGAGUAACGCAGCGAAAAUCUGAUGUGUAAAAGAGAUGGUUUUGGAAGUUGUUGCAAUAGAAGCGUAUGAUAAGAAAAGAGACAUGCACUUGAGCUCUACCGAGAAGGAAGUAGGCGAGCCAUACGCAUCUGGAUGAUAUAUGAUUUCUCCUUGACCACAUUUGAAUUCUCCUAAACUCCAUUCCUAUAUAUUGUUUCAUAGAUUUAUCAAAAGAUAUGAUUACCAUACAGUUGAUUUGAUCAUAUCAUAUAUUAUUAACAAGUGACAUAUAAAUAGUGUUGAAGUGUUCAUACGAACCUCAAGCUGGCGACCAAAAGUGACAAGGAUAGUGUCGGGAUCAGCGUGGAAAGAAAGUGGGCCUUUUCCUGAGUUGAUACGGAACUCGCAGUUCUUGGCCGGAAGGUGAAGGCUGAGUGUGUAAUGAAGCAUUUCUUCUGUCUUUUCUUUAGGCAAAGGAGGGCUUUGCUCUGUGACGUUUUCAUGAUUGUACCUGUAAACGCUGAGCACAGAUUCUCCUCUUUGUAUUCUUUUAUCAGUCUGUCUCCUUGAGUUUUCUACCAUUAUUUGCCCUAGUUUCCUUGCUACCCCUUCAAGUUUAUCAGCUACAUUCUCCAUUUCUUGGCUGCAACAAAGAUCCAAAUAUUUUAUCCAAAAUCCUCAAAUCACUUCUUUAUUCAUAAUAACAUUCAAGUUUGUUAAAAAAAGUGUGGCCCAAUAACGGCCCAAUACCUGAAACAGCGGUACCUUUCCGGUCCGAUAUACUCGCGCGCCCAUUCCAUGCGCUCCUUCCACGACCGAACCCAAACGAUCUCGUCUCUGUUUCCGACAACACUCCGGCGAAACCCGGUGUCUCUUCCCUCUAAAACUCCGAAAACCCGACCCGAUUCCCUAACAAGAGACCUAAGCUCCUCGCUCGAUAUCCCAUGGUAGCUCACACGAAACGCCCCGAACUCCCUCGCCGAUCGCACCAGACGAUCCACCGAUCCUUCUCUCCUCGACGCCAAUAGCCGGAAAUCAAUCUCCGCCGGGAUCAGGUGGCGUGAACCGCAAGAUUCACCGCCCGAAUGAGAUUCAGGGAGCGUGAGCUCUGGAACCUGGAUCGAUCUCUCGAUGAUCUCGGUGAGGAUCUCGCUCGCAGCGGAGCGAGAUCCUCUGGCUCUAGGGAUCGGAGACGGAGGAGGUGGUGGUGGAGUCAAUGAAGAUACGUUCAAUUGGCUCCUGGUUCGCAUCAGAGCCAUCGGAGAGAGAAGAUGAUCCGACGUUUUCGGGCGGGUUUCCAAUUAAUAAAAUCCGCCCCAAGAAAAAAAUGGAAAGACUUUUUUGUUUUUCGAUUGUUAGAGAAGGCACAUUCCUUUGCGUAUUUCUUUUAUUUGUUUUGUAUUCAAUUUCUUGAGAAAGUGAGGGUCCAUUACUGAAUUCGAAUGUAAGAAAAAAUUAAUAUUUUAUUUACUUCGUGUUGUUUACAUGAUUGUGAUAUGGUUUAGUGAAUGAGAAUGAUGAUGAUCAUAUAUGGUUCUGUAACUUCAUUUGCGCUGUGAAGAUUCGAAUAUGUCAGAUGGAAAAGCUUUGAGAAAUGCAUUCAUAAGAUGUUUGCCACCUUGAGUUCUUGGGCCAUUAUAUGGGCCGCAUUGAAUGUUUUGAUCCGGUCCACAUGUUUAAGUGCUAAUCAAUCUCAAGGACAAGAUAGAUAGGCUUUUGAAAAUUUGCGAAGAGACAAAGGAUUUGAAUUUCCUCUUUUAAGGACCAUAGUCCUUAGGAAGAGGAAACGAAAAAGUUUGACAUAUGUGGACAUAAGGCAAAGAAGUAAAGGUUGUCCAGCACUGUAAUAAGACAUUAAGACCAUUGAAUAAUUGAGAAACCCUUAAUCACUUGGAUCCAAUAUUUUAGUAUCCCCUUUCAUAUAUAGCUUCCCUUUUAGUAUGUUAUUAUAGACUAUAUAUCAAGCCCCAUUAACUACAUGUGGACAUGAAUGAUCAAAUUUAGUUACCCCGAAGUUGACAUGAAUGAUCAAAUCUAACAGAAACAAGUACUAUAAAGUCUGUUAAUAAGAACCCCAAGCUAAUCGAAGGGUCGUUAUUAAUAAUACAUAUGUAUAUCUGUACCAAUUCGUUUUCUCGUGGCGUAAUUAAAAUAUAAAAAUUUGUACCAACCAAGUUUUUGAAUUCGUUUUUUUAAGUUUUAGAUAAGUGGACCAAACUAAGUUAACAAGUGUAAGUUCUACAUUUUAAGUAGCAAAAGAGAAAAGUUAGCAAGUGUGGUGUGUGUGCAUAAUUGAAGUUAAAGGGCAUGCAUGUGAUUAUACACUAAUUGGUUAGUCAUAGCAUCUUCCGUACGUUAGUAAGCUUCGCUUAUGGUCCCCAUUCGAAUACUCCUUUUAUAAUUUGCUCCACCAGAUUUUGGGCAAUAAGAUGACAAAUUUAACUAUCAAAACGAAGAAUAGGAAGCAGAACCAUUCGGAGGAUAAAUUUUAUUAAAAACAGUUGUUUAUUAUUACAAAUGAUAUAUACGUAGGUGUCGCAGUAGGAGACAUGGAACAAACACCGAAGCUGUCGCUAUCAAAGAAGAUGUAAUGGAAGUGUGAAAAUAGCUUAUAAACUCUUUUGCAUGGGUCGGAGAAGACAAUCACCACCUCCCCUAAUGAUUUUGUAUUUCGAAAAUCUUCACUUUAUCGAAGAAAUUUAUUUUUAUUAUAAGAAAAUUGCAGCUAAAAUGCCUUUAAGAUGACACCAUCAUUGAAUUUUUUUUUUCAGAAUCUUUUAUAUUAUCGAAGAAAUUGUUAUUUAAAAAUUGCAAAUUGCAAUUAAGUAGAAGCCCUUAAUUAAUCCCUUUCAACAACGUAUUAUGAUGUUUAAUUUUAUCCUUAUUGUUGAACCAACAAAAUACAAUUAUCCUUAUUCUAAAUUUUGGCUAAUGAUUCAAAAUUUCACAUUUUCUUAACUCUUGUGUUAAUAAAUUAGUAAUUAAUGCUAAGGGUGCAUCAUUUAUGCAUACAAAGAUAACUAUUUCAAUAUUUUCCGUAAGAAAAUAUUUUUGUGAACCAAACAAAAAAAAAUGUUGGGAAAGGAAUAGUGCUCAAUGUAGAAGAGCUAACGUACACUUGUCAAAACCUACGUGAAACCUUGUCUUUCUUUCAUUAUGUAAACCGUGGAAGCAUUUCAAACAGACACACACGGUAAUUCUGAUAUUAGCAAGCCUAAAAUAACUUGGAUGACCAGAUUUUAAAAAGUAAACCAUAUACUAAAAAGCAUGCAUAAGGAAGCUCAAUAAACAAGGAACAUAAAAUCAUAAACUAUAAAAAAAACAUGGAAAAAAAUAGCUCAAUACACAACGUGCAUGAGGUCGGAUAUUUUCUAGUAAAGAACAUGAUUUUUCAUUGCAUCAUUGGCUUUAAGUUUCCUUUCUAUAGUUUUCAAACAUCUCGGUUUGUUUGUUAAUGACACAUUUUUAUUUAUAGUUAAAUGUUAUGUUAGUGCCGACAGAAAAAAAUAUUACAACAACAGUACAUGAAGAUGUCGGUUGAAUGAUUAAAUUUUAUGUCAUUCUGAUGGACUGUCGAUCAACUUUCAGGUAACAUCGACAAAAAUUGUAUGUAUAUAAGAUUGAGUUUUCUAAAGAAAGAGGCUUGAAUCUAAAGUCCUAAACUUUUACAGGUUAUAAAACUUUAGAACGCAAAUAUAUUGUUCGAUAGUGUUUAUCGUUACCAGUUAAGCAUUAUUCCCAGACAAAAAAUAACUAACACUGUAAAAUAUGUUUUAGAAUGUGUUUUAAUUUCCUAUGCAUCGAACCAGGACAAAGCUUCUUCGCUGUCUACAUUUUGGGGGAUAAUAUAAGAAAAACAAAACUUCAAACAUGUUUAUCAAUAGACAAUUAUUAGGUUUAGAUUUUGUGUAGCAUAUGGGAAUUUUUAUCCAUUAUUUAUUAUACAAAUUUAGAUAUAGGGUGUAGCAAUAGAUAAUAAUAGUAAUAAUAAUAAUAAUAAUAAUAAUAAUAAUAGUAAUAAUAAUAAUAAUAAUAAUAAUAAUAAUAAUAAUUAUAAUAAUAAUAAUAAUAAUAAUAAUAAUAAUAAUCCUAAUCCUAAUCCUAACAAGGUUUCUGUGAAGAUGAUAGAGUUCCGAAAGCUUUUUUCUUCUCCACUUUCAUCAUGAGUGGCAUUCUCAUCUGAUAGACAAUACUUAAUCUUUUUAAUUACAUAUAUAUGGGAUAAUUGCUUUGUUGUCUUCUGUACAUUAUCCGAAUCAAACGUCUACCAAUUAAUAACCAGUUUACAUACAAACAUAUAUAUUAAACAUUACUAUUUCAUCCCUAACGAUACUUAGUAUAUCCAAGCACAUUAUAUUAGCACUGAAUCCCGGAUACUUUCUACAUAUUCUUAUCAUAAAACCUAGUUCCCGCUUUUACAACUAAUUUUGCAAAUACAGUAAAACCUCUAUAAAUUAAUACUCGAUAAAUUAAUAAUCACUAUAAAUUAAUAAAGUUUUUUGGUCCCGAGUUGGGACCAGUGUAAAAAUCCAUCAAAUUCGAUAAGAUAAUAAAAUAAUAAUUUUUUUGAAACUCCUAUGUAAAUAUAUAGUCCCAACAAAAAUAUAAAUUAAUAAUUAUAUAAAUAUAUAUACAAAUAAAUAUAUAUAUAAUAUUUUAAAAUAUGAAUAAUGUGUUUACUUUUACUUAAAGUUGAAAGUUUAUUGGUGUUCAUCUAUUUGUUUAUUACAUCUCUAUCUCUUAUUGUUUUUUUGAUAUUCAUUCAAAUUUGUGAAGAAUUUUUGAUAUAAUAAUUGGUUUUCUUACACGUAAAUAUCUAUAAAUGUAUUGUAAUAUUGUCUUCAAUUUCAUCUUUUUGAUAAUAGCCACAGUUUCUUAUAAAUUUUGAACUUCUAAACAUGUAUAUUUUUAAUAGAUAAAUUAAUAUUCUAUUAAAAACUAUUUUGUUAUGAUAACUAUAUUUAUUAAUCAUUAUUUUUAUUAAGUUAUUAUCUUAAGUUUUUAAAUACAACAUUAUUCAAUUUUUUUUUUAAAAGUUAUAGACAAAAACUAGAUUAUCUCUAUAAAUUAAUAAUUAUUAAUUUAUAGAUAAAUUAAUAUCACGAUAAAUUAAUAAAAUUUCAUGGUUCCAACAUUAUUAAUUUAUAGAGGUUUUACUGUAUUUCUAUAUUUAACAGACCAAGAACUUGAUGAAUGUGGCCGGUCAUGUUGACAUGGCUCUUUAUUUAUAAUAAUAAAUAAAGACGUUUUAUACAGAAGUUCUUUUUAUAAAUACCCUGUUUUUUUCAUACUUCAGUCAACGUUUUAAACAUAUAUAUAUAUAUAUAUGUAUAUAUAAAUUUUAAGUGAAAUUUUUAGUGUCUAAAAUAUGUAAAAGUCUAGGCCUACUAAAACGAAGGAAUUAAAUUAUACCAAAAUUUGUAAUAAGGUAAUACAUGAAACGAUAUUUAAACAUUAAUCUCAAGAGACAAAUAUAAUAAAAAGCAAGAGUCGGCAAAUAUUUUAUGCUCCGAAAGAAACUACCAAGGUGAACUCAUAUUUUAUUUGAUUUUUUUACUAUAAAUGUCCUUGCUAUAAGUGGAAAGUAAAGUAUAAAGGAAGCAGCUUAGUUAAUUAGUUUGGUCUAACAUAAAUAUGUGGAAAUAUAUUAAACACACACACACACACACACUCCUUUACUGUCUACAUAACUAAAAGGAACAUGUUCCAAAAGAAAUAAAAAGCCCUAUAUAUAUUCUAAACAAAUGGAAAAAGGCAAGUAGAAAUGUAAAAUAAUUGAGAUUAAUUAGAGUGGACUAAUGGAACUAUGGAAGUGUGCAUAAAUACGAGGGAAAGGAACUUAAACAUUCUUCUUCUCUCUAACACACACAGAGACACUCGUUCCCAAAUUCUCUGGCAAUCCUCUUUUCGUAGUUAUCAACAAGUCUUUUUUGCUAUAAGUGAAGGGUGAUAGUAUAUAUAAUAUAUACAGAUAUCUAUAUAUAUGAGCAUGUGCAGAUCCAACAUGAAAAGUAGUGAAUCUGGAGAGAUUAUAAACGGAGAAUGCGAUGUUUCAACGUCAGUCAAAGAAGAAACUAGCGCCGGCAGCUCCAAAUUCUCGGCUGGCCUCCGUCGCAUCCCUUUGAACGAGGCUUGUUUCUUUCUUAUUUUAUUUUCUUAUACAUUUUCUUUCACAAAAUAUCGAUGGCUUAGAGAACUUACUCCGCUUAUUGUUUGAUUUCAUAGUUUUGGUGAUUGAAGAUUCAGGAUCAUAUCCACAUAUUAUUGGAGACGUUUUCUACGUUUUUAUUUAUAUUUUUUUCGAUGUUUGACAAGCGAAUUAGUUAAUUUUGAUUGAUUAUAGUAUCAUUUUCAGUCACUUUUAUCGUAUUUUGGGAUGGUACGUAAUAUGGAAUUCUUGGAACUUGAUCUUAUACGUACUGGAUUGAAUGCUGCUUUGACUGUUUGUAUAGCUUCAUAAUGGAAAGUCAUGCAUCUCUUUUAAAACAAUCAAUUUGAACAAAACCCCUGUCACAAAAAAAAAAAUACAAUCAGUUUGAAGAAAACUUAAAAUAUUUAAACUUAGUUAACAAAUGUAGUUGGGAUCCAUUAUAUGUAACCAUUGUUUAUCUCUAUAUAUAACCAAAACUUGUAUUGUCUAUAUAUAUCUAAUGUUUGAAACUUUGAAUGUGUGUGUAUGUACAUAUUCAUAUGUAUGUAUAAAGCGUCAAUAGUAUGAUAUGUUAUCUCACUUUCAUGGACUGAGAUAGAUGGUGCUUUUAUUUUGGGUUGUACUUACACAAAAAGUUUCCUAUAUAUGCUUCCUCUUAUUAUGUACAUUUUCUAUUAGUCCUUUAGUUAGUACAAGUACUUUACUAUCUUAUUAAUUCCAUUUUUUAUAUAAUCAAGUCCUUCUUGAAAUACUUCAUCUAAUUCUUUUGUAAUCUAAAUAGUAGUUCAUGAUAUUUCUACAAUAUAUGCAUUUUUUUCUAGACCGAUUUUAUGUUGUUUGAAGCAUUGAUAUUUCUAUUGAAGUUCAUGAAAUGAAAGAUAUCUAAGCUGAUUGUGUUUUCCAAAAAGAAAAUAAAAAGGUGAGCUUUUUAGAACCCAUGAUGGUUUUUAUUUAAAAAGAUCCUAGAAUGUUGGUACAGUUAGCCAUUCGCUUUUCUGUCACUUGUGAAUUUGAUUAUUCAGUUCUAAAAGUUAUAGAAUUUAAACCUUUUUUCUCUUCUUUUUCAACUUUCUCAUCCCAGUCCCAGUGGCCAUGUGAUGCGACCAUCAUCCUCGUGCUUAGGAAUUGCUCUUAUAUUUAAAUUAUAUAAUAUUUUCUCGUAUUGUAUGUAAUAUCCUUCUGUUCGAUAAAAAAAAUGUUUUAAGAAUUUUUUUCUCUUACAAAAAAAAUCGUUUUAUAUUUCGUUUAACAACUAUACUAAUGAUUGAUAUACUAAGAGAUAGCUUAAUAAAUUUUAAAUAUGUGUGAAAUAUCAUAUUGAACGAGGCUUAUAUUGGAAGUGAAAACGUAUUAAAACCAAAUCGCCUACAUAUAUUCUAGUUUUUUUUUCCAUAGAUAUAUUAUUUUCCUGUGUUAUAUAUAAUAAACGAUUAAAGACUAGAUCAUAUAAAAGUAUUUUGUUAAAUGUCAAUAUACUUAGCUCGCGCGCUUCUUUCUUUAUAUGUAUAGUAUUUUCUUGAAUGCUUGUAACUAUAAGUCUAUAAGCCCAGUACAAUAAAAUAAUGAAUGCUUUUCUUGUUUAUUUACUUUUUUAUAUGUCUCGGAUUAAUAGUUAUUGACUUGAAAAACCUAACAUAUAUUUUUUCCUCCCAUGCAGGUGGGAGAGGAAAUGUCGUCGCUCACGAAAAUAGCAUGCCCGAUCGUGAUGACAUCACUCCUCAUUUUCUCGAGAUCAAUAAUCUCAAUGUGGUUCUUGAGCCACCUCGGAAAAGUCGAACUCGCUGGUGGUGCACUCGCCAUGGGCUUUGGAAACAUCACCGGAGUCUCCGUGCUCAAAGGCCUUUCCGUUGGUAUGGACCCAAUCUGUGGCCAAGCCUUCGGUGCCAAACGUUGGACCGUACUUAGCCACACGUUUCAGAAAAUGUUCUGUCUCUUGAUUGUCGUCUCUAUUCCAAUCUCCGUCACGUGGCUCAACAUCGAACCCAUUUUCCUCAGGUUGGGUCAAGACCCGGAUAUCACACGUGUCGCCAAAACAUACAUGGUCUUCUUCGUCCCUGAGCUCUUGGCUCAAGCCAUGCUUCACCCGCUACGAACGUUCCUUAGAACGCAAGGCCUAACGUCACCAUUAACGAUAUCAGCAAUCGUAUCCAUUCUUCUUCAUCCUCUCUUUAACUACGUCUUCGUCGUGCGUAUGCGUUUAGGCGUUAAGGGCGUUGCAAUCGCAAUGGCUUUUAACACAAUGAACAUCAACGUUGGACUACUCGUUUACACGUGUUAUUCGGAUUCUUUAAUCAAACCUUGGGAAGGGCUAGCUUUGCGGUCUCUUUUCCGUGGCUGGUGGCCGCUUCUUUCUCUAGCCGCACCAAGCGCAAUCUCUGUGUGUUUGGAGUAUUGGUGGUAUGAGAUAAUGCUUUUCCUUUGUGGGCUUCUUGGAAACCCUAAAGCGAGUGUGUCCGCCAUGGGAAUACUGAUUCAAACAACGGGACUACUCUACGUAGUCCCGUUUGCUAUAAGCUGCGCUAUUGCAACUCGUGUAGGCCAUGCUCUAGGAGGUGGGCAACCUACACGAGCUCAAUGUACGACCGUGAUUGGUUUGAUACUCGCAGUAGCUUACGGUUUAUCAGCUGCUGUUUUUGUGACCGCUCUUAGGUCGGUUUGGGGAAAGAUGUUCACGGACGAACCGGAGAUUCUAGGGUUGAUUUCGUCUGCGCUUCCGAUAUUAGGGCUUUGUGAGAUCGGAAACUCGCCGCAGACGGCUGCUUGCGGAGUCUUGACGGGCACGGCAAGGCCUAAAGAUGGGGCACGCGUUAACUUAUGUGCGUUUUACAUUGUGGGCUUGCCGGUGGCUGUUACAACCACGUUUGGGUUUAAAAUUGGGUUUCGUGGGCUAUGGUAUGGACUGUUGGCUGCGCAGAUUACAUGUUUAGUUAUGAUGCUUUAUACAUUGGUUCGUACGGAUUGGGCUCACCAGGUGAAGCGAGCAGAGGAACUUACUUCUGCUGCAGCCGACAAAAGUCAUUUGUCAUCGGACGAAGAAACCGUCCAAACUGAAGUAGGAGUUGAUGAUGAUGUUGGUAGCAAUGAUUUGGAGAUUGGUUUACUACAAAACACCAACUAAUCUAGAAAUUUUAAAAUUUUCAAUCGAUCAUUUUAAUGGAUUGUUAAUUACAUAGGAAUUAUUUUGUUUUGUUUUUUUUUGCAAACUAAAAUACCCAAGAUAGAUAUUUGCAUCGUAACAUUUGAUAGGUUUUAUAAUCUUGUAAAACCAGAACGUUUCAUUUUAAUGAAAUAUUUACAUUCUUAGCCAUAAAAAUAUAUAUUUGCAUCGGAAUUGCUAACCAAUAUUUUGGCAAAACAAUCAUAAGUACCUAUUAAUUGGUUGAGUUUAUAUUAUUAGCACAUGUAAUCUAGUACGUACAUGGGUUAUCUAAUAUUUUCCCCCAUGUUUCUUUAUGUAAGUCAGCACUCAGAACUCAGAAGUAUGCAGUGAAGAAACAGUUAUCAAAAUGGCUUUGCAUUUUGUAUAUAACUAGCAACAAGUUUGAUACGGCCCAAACUUGUGAAUAUACUUGCUCAUUCUUUGUUUUUUUUAAACUCUAAAUAUAUUGCUGAUUCUGAUCAAACUAAGCUAUUUAAAAAAGAAAAGAGAUUGUUUGUAAAGCUAAAACCAGAGAAAGGAAAAUUUAACUAACUAAUCAAAUAAAGAAAAUAGAAAAAUGGAACUCAAAUAGGUUUUGGGGAAACCAUGUCUAGAUUAGCUAAGAAGACUAAAACUUACGGGAAAAAGAUAUUGAAACCGAAAUCAAGGAAAAGGGGCCAUAGUGAGCCGAACUUUAACAGGAGCAAGUAGAGUAAUUUAUUGCCAAAUUUGAUUAUUUAUAUCCAGUUAAUUUUACUGUAUCUCAGUUCAAAAUCAAUUGACACAAAACGAUGGGUAUUUAUCACAAUGUAUUCAUAAAAUAUAUUGAAAUUUCUCACUUGCAUAGAUGUUAUCCGUAUCCCAUGUAUUUACCUCAUAUGGACUUUCUGGUCACACGUGUUGUGCGUACAUAUAAUAUGUUGCAUGUGGCAUUUCGGUGCCUAAUUCUCAAGGCAUAUAUCAUGUACCCCUUUAGGCACCGACAUUUUUGAAACAGUAAAUACAGUUUCUCGUGUUAAACAGUAAAUAAGAUUACACAUGAAUAAAAAAACUACAGAAGACUUAUUUUGACGUGUUCCUACCCAUACCCAUAUCCUACAGGGAACUUUUAACACAUUUUCUGACCGAAAGAACAAUCGUUCAAAAGUAUCGAGUUAAAGAUAAGAUUACAAAAUAUUUUUUUUCCUUUCAAAAUACUUAAUUUAAACGUAUCUAUUGAUUUAUUAUGUUAAAAAUUUAAGGAUAAAUAAACUAGUGAGGUUUUGCGUAAAAAAAAAUGGUGAGCUUUCGGUUUCAAAAAAGUCUCAAACUUGAAUAAGCAUAUAAUGCAUAUAUUAAUGCUGACAGAGCAAAUUCAUUAUUCUGCAGUAGGAUGGUAGAUAGAAAAAUUACACGACUCAAUUUCUUGGUGUGUAUUGAAUGAGAAUCGAUAAAAGUGACAUGUGUAUAUAAAUUAUAAAAUGCAUCAUUGCUAUUGGGGAAAAAAAUUCGAUUUAUUUAGCAACGAUAUAUGAUUUUGAAAAAGUUACAGUCUCAAAUUCGAUAUUUAAUAAAGCCAAUAAUUUUUCGUUGUUAAACGAUUUUCACGAAUCUACCAAUUUAUCCUGAAUUAAAAAUUUUAUAUGAUAGAAUAACUUCAUGUUAAUAUGUUAUGAUUGAAAGUUAUUGUAAUAUGUUAUCAUUCGAUUUUUUUUCCGGAAAAUUAAUUAGCAUUGUUUUGAGUCUUUUGACACACUGAAUUGUUUUCUUAUUAUGAAAGGCACAUACUUGUACAUCUAAAAUAAUAUAUUUCUAUCUAUAAAUACUUAUCAAAUGAAGCACUUAGUUUUACCGGGAUAAGACUAGAAUAGGCGACGGUCGAAGUGAUGGACUUGAAAAGCAAAGCAACCGACAAUGCAUGACCCCAUCCCACCCAUGUGUCAUGCAUUCAAUUUUUUUCACAUAACGACGAACCAUCUACAUACACUCUAUGGUGUUGGAGGGCAGCGAAAACCGACACCUUCUUGUGUAUAUCCUUACGGAGAAAUUUUCAGGGAAGCAAACAAAAGUUUUAAAUAAAAUAUUCAUGUACUAAUCAAAGUCAUACUCUUAAACCUAUAGAUAUCAUAAAAGGAGAAUUUUUUGUUUAGGUUUGUUCUCUUUAAUAAACUCAUCUUGGUUUCAAGCUUAAUUUCGUUCGUAAAUUGCUACGUUUUUUUGUUAAAGAUAGUAAAUUGUUACGUUAAAAGAUUCAGAUCGUCAGAUUUGGAUUUUCUUGUCAAAAAGUAGAUUUUAUUUUUCUUGUUCGUCAAUUGUUGGAUCGUAAGAUUAUCGUCUUCGCAUAAAAAAAAUGAUGACCAAUUUAAGUACGUAUUUGACAUAUGUGAUAUGUUUAAUCUAUACUUCAAUCAUUACCAAAUUUUAUGUAUUUUGUUGUACAUGUUUAAUCAUAUAUAUUUUUCUUACCUCUGGUAAAAUCAUUUUAGCUGAUACUAUAUACCGUGUCUACAAAAUCGAUGUACUUCAUGAUCAUUCUCAUUAUGUAGAAGAUAUUGAACACAUGAUGUUAAAAUAAAUAAUAUUUAAUGAAUUUUUUUUUUUUUUGCUAAAAUAAAGUUUAAUGAUAGUUCUAUGUAAAAUAUCUAUUUUGCGUAUCCAAUGUACACCUAUUUUCCUUAUUUGUUUUUUCGUACCACAUCUAUAGAAUUUAAAACUCCUAAGAAAUAUUGGAAAUUCAAAAACAAGUACGUUGGUUGUAGAACUUUUACAUAAAAAAAUAUAAAACUGAGCUAAAAAUGUCAAACAAAAUAGAUGAGAGGUCCUACAUAAUUAGGACCUCUGCAUUAAAUGAAAUCAACAACCAACCAACUACUCCUAUUCCUCUAAUCGCAUUCACAUUACAUUUCUCUAUAUAAAUACUCGCUCCCCAAACUCUCUUCAUCACUCAUCAUUACACACACAUCUCAUUUUGCAAACCAUCGAAAACAAACCCCUAGAACUAAGAGAGAAAAUGGCUGGUCUAAUGAAGUUGGCAUGCUUGGUCUUGGCUUGCAUGAUUGUGGCCGGUCCAAUCACAGCCAAAGCGGCUCUUAGCUGUGGAACCGUUAGUAGUAGCUUGGCACCGUGCAUUGGCUACUUGACCCAAGGUACGCCCCUUCCCUUAGCGUGCUGCGCCGGCGUUAAAAGACUAAACAGCAUGGCCCGUACAACCCCGGACCGUCAGCAAGCUUGCCGUUGCCUUGUUGGAGCCGCCAACGCCUUAGGUUCCGGUCUCAACACUGGCCGUGCAUCUGGACUUCCUAAGGCAUGUGGUGUCAAUAUUCCAUACGCAAUCAGCAAAAACACUAACUGCGCCAUGUAUGUGUUAAUCUCUCACUCUCUCUGAUACAUAUGAAAACUAAAGGUUUCUUGUUUUGUUACAAUACGAAUAUACGAUGUAACUAAUAUUAAAGUUAGUUUUUUUGACAAAAUGAAGAUUUGAGUUUGCUAUAAAACGGUUUCAUGUUUUACUAAAGUUUAUAAGUCUUCCCGGUUCAACCAUGUUCCAAUAUAAAAGUUGAAUUUUUAUACCGUUGCAACAAGUAUAUAUUAAAAGUUUAUUUUUUUGAGUGGAAAUUAGAGGUUUUUAUAUAGUAACGGUGUUAUGUUUAUUUGUAUGUGGUUGCAGCGUGCGUUAAAUGAGCGGCGGUCGGAUGAAGCUCUAGCGGAUGUUUCAAAUAUUAUAUGAGACUAUGAGAGAAUACUAAAUAAGAUGUAAUGUCUGUUUUUUUUUUGAGUUUUUAGUUUCCUGUCUUUUUUUCUUUUUUCUUUUAUGGUGGCGUUCCUAUUACUUGGUCGUCUGUACUAUGUUCGCAAUCAACGUUAUAUGAGUUUCAAAGUUCACAUUAUUUUAUAUUCUUACCAAAUCUUAGUUUAGUUUCAUCGAUAUGAAAAAUGAUCAUUAUACAUUAACAAUAUAUAUAUAUAUAUAUAUUGAUUUGCAUUACAGUUGGGAAGUAACGGAUAAUUUAAAUUUAAUUUUACAGCCAAAUAAAAUAACGGGACAUUCUCCAAAUUUGUACUAUUUACUUGUUUAGACUUAAGAUAAUCGAGAAAAUGAUGGAUCGCUAUAUGGAAUCGUGACAACUCUUGGAAAACCAGGACCCUAUCUUAUAAUGUGCCCAAAACUAGGGAUUUAUUUCAGUUUGACUUAAUUAAUUUUACAGAUUAGAUAAUGAUUUGGAUAUUGGACAAACCAAUAAAAUGAACAUAACGAAAUAAUAUUUCUAUCAAAAUUUGGUUAUCUUUUCAUCAUUGUUAGUUAUUAUUUUUUCUAAUUUAAUUUAAUUUAUAAUCUACCGUGUGAUGAAUUUUUUCUAAAGAAGAAAAAUCAAAAUUCUGUUAAACUCCAUACAGCUCCCAAAAGUCUAGGCCCAAUUCUGGUUGCUCUCUCAGUGUUGCUAAUUAACUACUUUUUUUUUUAACACAUCGAGGGAAACUCAAUUUUACAAUCAAAAUCAAACCAAUAAGUCUUAACCAUGAAAUAAUACCAAAGAUGAUGAAAUACAUUAGAGAAAAACCCAUAUAAGCUGCUAUUGUUGUAGAUGAAGUUUUUUUUGCAGAUUUAUUGGAGGCAACUGUGCGUUUGGGAAACAAAAUUUGGGAGGUGAGAAGAAACUCGCGUUGUGAUAAGAAAAUAGCGCAAUCACAUUUUGACGGAAAUUUACAAAAUCAUAGUUAUACCGGAAAAUCACCGACUGUUUGUUGAAUUAGUCCAAAGAGACUCAUGUUGGUUCAAGGUUUUUGUUUGUAUAGGUGGUUAUGUGAUAGAAAUAGUCGGAUUUAUAUUUCUGUUCUUCCGAAAUAACAUUUGUUGAUUUUUCUUUGUUGAUUAUUAGUCUAAUGUGUAUAAAAAAUGAUAAAGUUAAACAAAACGGGUAAAUUAUCGUUUUGCAUAAUUUUCUUACAUAUUUAUUUGAUCCACAGCGAAAAACGGUCUUGGGACAGCAGCUCUCAAGAUUAACAGCUACAGUUUGUAAAACAAAUGUAGACUUUGUUUGAGAAAGAGGAGUUUUUUAAAGUUUUUGAAACUCAUAUGUGUUUUUCUUGUUUUGUGAAGAUAUAAUUUGUGUGUACUUAACGCAUAUAUCUAGUCUUGUAUGAGUGAAUCAAAUAUUUAAAAUAAAGAUUGCAAUGUAAAUUUCUAGACUUAUAUACAUAGUGCAUACAUAUUUGUUGAAAAAUGAGAGCAUAAUAUAUGGUUUUAAUUAUAUUAAAUUUUCGUGUUGCGUGACUUGCGUUUCAUCUCAUUAAGAAAGUUUUUACGUAUUUUGUUGGAUCCGCUAGCUAAAUUAUUUUCAUUUGUUAAUCGGAUGUAAAAGAUAUUAGUCAGAUGAUGUUAAGUAAGAUACAAUAAGAAUAUAACAUUUAGUGAUAUUUCUACGUGAAAUGACUAUUUUCUUAUCCAUGUAUAGUUUUAACAUUCUUAAAAUGAAAAUGCAAGAGAGAUUACAUACGUCUUUUUGUGGGUGGGGGGGGGGGGGGGAAAAGAACUACGGUAAAAAAUGUAAGUAUUAUAAGUUUUCAGAAAAAUAAUAUGAUUGAAAUGUCAAACAAAAUACGUAGAUGAGAAAUGAGAGGUACUCACCACUCCUACAUAAUUAGGUACUGUACAUUAAAUGUAACCAACCACCAAUCAACUAAUCAUUUCCUCUAAAUCCCAUUCACAUUCACAACAUCAAAACUUUCUUUCUCUAUAUAAACACUCACUCCCUCAACUCUCUUCAUCACCCAAUAUCACUACACUACAUACAUCUGCUUCUUCAAACAACCAAAAAAAAAACUAUAUUUCCAAGAUAAAAAGAAAAUGGCUGGUCUAAUGAAGUUGGCAUUCCUGGUCUUGGCCUGCAUGAUUGUGGCCGGUCCAAUCACAGCCAAAGCGGCUCUGACCUGUGGCACCGUUACCAGCAACGUUGCAGCGUGCAUUGGCUACAUUACCCAAGGUGGGCCCGUUCCAGGAGCUUGCUGCUCAGGCAUUAAAAACCUUAACAGCAUGGCCCGUACAACCCCGGACCGUCAACAAGCUUGUCGUUGCCUUAAAACUGCCGCUAAUGCCUUGGGCCCAAAUCUCAACGCUGGCCGUGCAGCUGGACUUCCUAAGGCUUGUGGAGUCAAUGUUCCUUUCCCAAUCAGCACCAGCACCAACUGCAACAGGUAUAUGUCUGAAGAUCUCUCAUUCACUCUAUUUUCAUAUAAAUGCUAAAAAGUAUAUAUCAUAAAAAAGAUCAUGGGAAUUUUGUACGAAAUACAAAUAUUUUAAUGAAAAUUUCAGAGUUUUUCCCUCAUGUUUGAUGGAACUUUUGAGUUUUGUAUAUUGAUGCAACAAGUAUAUAUUAUAAGGUUUUUUUUAAGUUAAAUUUGAGGCUUUAAUAUUAACGUACGGUGUUAUGUUUGAUUGAAUAUGGUUGCAGCGUGAAAUGAGCGCGGGUUGGAUGAAAGCUUUAGCGGACGUUCCGAAUAUUACAAAAACGGAUGAGACAAUAUUAAAUAAGAUGUUCAAGUGACUGUUUUUAAUUUCCUGUAUUUUCUAUUAUGGCGAUCCUAUUAACUGGUCGUUUGUAGUAUGUUCUCAAGCAACGUUAUAUGAAUUUCGGAUUUGAAGUUUACGUUGUUCUAUUAUAUUCUUACUAAUGCUUAGAUUAGUUUCAUCCAUAUGAAAACAAUUCAUCAAUUUGCAUGAAAUAACAGAGUGCGGGGCAGGACAUAAUAAUGGAUGUUGGCAGAAAAAUAUCAAAUGUUAAUAUUAAAGUAUAACAUUUAACAGAGUGCGGGGGAGAACAUCAUCUCGUUCCGUGUUGUUCCAGAGCUAAUUAGUAUAACAAAAAUAUUAAAAUAACGGGACAGUCUUAUUAGUGGUAAAUGUAAUAAACUAUUGGUUUAUGCAUAAGAAACUUGAAAAAGAUAAAGAUAAAUUAUUGACGUACACGAACACGAGUAAGAAAAAAUAAAGAUAGUAAAGUGUUUGGUGUAUCUGCAUUUCUCCAUUACCUUACGAGGAAUUUUUGUUAAUUCUGCUUUAAAUGCUUGACUGUUUCUUCUGCAAGCUGUAAUAGUAAGUUAAUAUGGUUGUAGAUAUAUGGUCUGUUAACGUUUUGAUUUUAAUUUGGAUAAAAAUUGUAAUUUAAUCUAAUAUGAAUGGUUUGAUGAUAUUCAUUGUUUUUUAAUCUCCUUUUAAUAUUAGGGUCCCUUUGUUUUUACUCUCUUUAGUCCUUGUAGGUUCCAUAUUUAGGAGUUUUAGGAGUCCUAGAUUACUUUUUGCUUGCAUUUAGGAGUCCUAGAUUACUUUUACUUUUUGUGGAGAUUUAGGUCACAUUCGAUGAAAGGAGCAUUAGGAGACUUGGGGGGAGACAAUUGCAUCAAGGAGAAAGCAAAGAAGCAACGAGGAAACAAGGAGAAGAAAUAGUUGAUGGAAUAAAAUUAAAACUUAGAUAAAAAAUCUAGCGAAUUGUACAAGUGAAAACACCUAGUUUUCACUAAAAUAGGACUAGAAAUAGUAGUAUGGGGCGACGAUCUAAGACUCAAAGUGAUGGCCUUGAAACGUUGUUUAGGCAACUGACAGUGACUCAAUCCUACCCAUGUGUCGUGCCAUUCAAUAUUUGUUAUGUAUCAGUCAAUUUUUUCACAUAAUGACGAACCAUCUAAACUCUUUGGUGCGUGAGGGUAGAACAAACCGACAUCUUCUCGUGUGUAUCCGUACCUAGCAUUUAUUUAUGUGAAAACAACAUAUAAAUAUUUAUUAGAGUAUUAAGUGUACAUAUAUAAUAUAAUACCUUCUUCAUUAUUUUCAUUUAUAUAUAAGAAAUCACACGAAACAUGUAUUUCAAAACACAAAAACCUCCAAUAUAUAUUGUUGAAUUAAUGGAAAAGUUCACGCUAAUUUAUUUGCCAUAAAAAGGACGCUGAUAUCUUUUGUUUAUCAAUCAAAAGUUCGGAUUACCCUAUAAAAAUAUAUAAAAAUUAUGAAAUAAGAUGUUUGAAUGGCUGUUUAUUUAGAGGUUUUCAUUUCCUAUUUAAAAUUUUAUAUAUUUUUUUAUAUUAUGGCUAUCCUAUUAAUUGCCCGUCUGUACUACGUACAUCUAUGUUCACUAAUAUUCUGUAAUAGUCUUGCUAAAGCUAGUUUUGUUUCAUUAGUGUACAUUACAGUUGAGAAUUAACGAUACAUUUUAUUAAGAUUAUAGAAAAUAAAAUAACGGGACAUUUCUCCAAGUUUGUACUGUUUCAUUCUUUAGAUUACCAAGAACAUCGUGGAUUUUCUUCAUAGUUGACAGUUUUAUAUAUCAAAAAUUUGAAAGGUAUACACGUGUCCAAAUAAAACUAUAGGCUAUGAAAAUUAUUUGAAGUGUUUUGUGUAUCUGCAAUCCGCAUUUCUCCACCACCUUACAUGGAAUUUUGCAUUAAAUGCUUUACUCUGCAUCUGGAAGCCGUAACUAAUUAUUAUGGAUGGUAGAUAGAUGGUAGUUUCUUAGUAUAUACUAUUUAAAUUUAAUCCGACUAGAUAAAUAUAAAAUUUGCUGGAACUAUACCUAGGACUACCAAAAUUUCCGCAACUGUAGGUUUUUUUGUCAUCUCGACUUUAUUAUCACAGUGUCACUCUCACUCUUCUGCGAACAAAAAUUGUUGAACUUGAAAUGUUGACUCAAGGUUUUAGAACAAAAAUCGGGUUUUGUAGCUCACUAUAAGUUAAACCGGAUAAAGACGAUCGGUUUGGCUCGGUUUAGGAUUAAGAGGGCCUACUGUUGCAAACUUGCCAAAACUCAUCGAGAUAUUUGUUCAAAGCCCACUCGCUUUACUUAGGUAUUUCCAAAUGUUCCGACGUCGUUUUCACUCCAUUUUUUUUUGUUCUUCUUCUUGUGUUUGGUUAAGUCCUCUUGGAAAUUCCUUGCUUGCUUCGUAGUUGAAGCAUUCGGAACAACACAGCUCCUGAAUCCCUAAAGCAAAACUCUCUCUCUCCCUCUCUUCGUCGAGUACUCAUUUGAUCAGAGCUAUGAGUAUCCCAAUGGAGCUGAUGUCAAUCAGAAACCCUAAUUCGAGCUUGCUCCACCGAGCUCAUUCUCGUCCACCGGUCACGCUCUCUGCUCCACGCUCUCUCCGUUUCCAUGCCCUUCCUAGCCGUCGCCAUUUCAGUGGUCCUACGUUUUCUCCAGCUGCCGUUUCUUGUACAGGGCUACGUUUCGGCUUUAGCUCAGAGGUCAUGCUUGAUCGUUCCGUUGUUGCUUUCGCUGCAUCCCACGAGGAAUCGGUGAGUACUGGUUUUGCUUCAAAGCUUCUUAAUUCUGUGUUAAAUAUUCUUAAAGUUUAGAUUUUUAUUCUGUAAAUUGCUUGAUACUCGAAUGUCUGGAUUAUGUUUAGCAAUCAAGUUUAGGAAACGAAAGUAAUUGGACUUCGGGGUAUGAGUUGUUGCGGAUUGUGAAUUCACACAGUUUGCUCUUUUUCCUUAAAAAUGUGAAAUUUUCUUGAUUAAGCUAUCAUAUUUUGACAUGAGAGGUGCAAUUUGGAGUUUGAAAUCAGCAGUUUUGAUGCAUGUAUAUAUGUUUUUGACUAAAAUUGGCUAACUUUAUUGCCAAUAUUCGAACAGGAGCAAUCAGAUGUUGAGGUGGGGAAGGAGAAGAGUGAUAUAGAUUCUGAAGAUGAUACAUCUCAGGAAGCAUGGAAACAAACUCUUGCGUCUUUCAAAGAGCAGGUUUCAAAGAUGCAGAGCGUGUCAUCGGAGGCAUACACCGUAAACUCCCAAAAAGCAAUGACAAUCUUGAAAGAUACUUCUGAACAACUUAGGAUUCAAGCGGAGAAGGCGAAAGAAGAGUUGGGUACAAAAGCAAAAGAGGUUGGCGAGGAGAGUAGAGAAUAUAUUUUGAAAGCAGCAGAAGAAUCACCUUCAGAUGUGAAAGAGAUCGUCGAAGCAUUCGCCUCCACCGAGGAUCUGAAAGACGUUUCACGAACGCAAGAUUUUCAUGUUGGAAUACCCUAUGGUAAGCACGUUAUAUAUCGUGUUCCUUAUUUAAACUUUCAUGGUGAGUAAAAUCGGAUGAUAAAAAAAAAAUGUAUACUUUGCAGGUCUACUCCUGCUUGUGGGUGGUUUCAUUUCCUUUAUGGUAUCGGGAAGCAUUCCAGCCAUUAGGUUUGGGGUCAUUCUUGGUGGAGCUCUUUUUGCACUGAGCCUGGCAAGUCUAAAGUCUCAGAGGAAAGGAGAAUCAUCUACUAAGUUCUUCAAAGGACAGAUGGGUUAGUGAGCUGUUUCAUUUGUGUUGAUUCUUUCACAUAUCAUCAAAAAGCCAGUGUGAAUUUGUGUUUCUGAACCCCUUUGACAUGCCAAGUAGCUAACCAUGAAGGAAUUAGUUAAAGUUGCACUGUUGAUUUGUAUAGAACUGAGGCUUGUUUCAAGCGGUACUGGGACUUGUUCAACUAGUAUAUAUAUUGGGAUUUUAGUCAACAGAUUAUAUUUUCACCAAUGUGAUUUGUCAGAUGUGUAAAUCAAACUUGUUGACACUCAUUUAUUUCCAUGUUCUUAUGUUCAAUAGCUAUAGUGGCAAUCAUAUUUUUGAGAGAGUUGAAGCUGCUACUAUCUCAGGUAACGUGAUUAUAUUUCAAAAUGGUUCAUUUAUUUGAACAAUGGCUUUGAAUGAAACAUAAUACAGUCUUUCUUUCUAUUCCUACAGAGAUCUACGUUCCUGGGUUUUUUGACCACCCUUACGAGGUACAUACUAGAGACAAAUAUUCUUUUACAUUUGCAAUAUCAUAAAAGCAACACGAGCGAUAGAUAAUUAAUGAUGAUGUAGUCAUACUUUACACAUUUUACAUUCGUCCAUCAACAGAAGUUAGAUUCAUAUGUCCCACUGGGAAAGAAAACACACAUUGCAUAUAAAAGUUAAUUAGGAUUUACAUCAGAAAGAAGGCUUAAAUGUGUUGGAUUGCUGUUGCAGUGGUGGUGUGUUGGCAUUUUACGUGUACAAGAUGGUAGGCAAGAGAGAAAAGGGACCAAAGAUAGAAGAAGAUGGAGGAGAAGAUGAAUCAAGCGAUGGAUUUGUAAGAAGAGAAGGAUAGAAAAAUCAUGGAGGGUAACAUGAGCAUCAUAUUCUAUGUUAUUUUGAUGUCCAAACACAGGCCGUGUCUAUGUUAUGGAUUGGGAAACAUGACCAAGGACUUAAUUUUAAUAAAAUAUGUUUAAAAGCUUGUUUUUUUUCACAAAAUAUAUUCUACUAUAAUUUGAAGUUCACAUUUUUUUUUUCAUUCAUAAAAAACAUCAAAAAAACUAAUUGAUAAUGCUUGUAAAUUUAUAUUUUGUUAUACAUAUUUUCUUUCAACAAAUUGAUUAUGGCAGGAGCUAUUUAUGAUUUAGUGGUCCUUUUGUAUUAAAACUAAUUAGAUAAGAUGUUUAUGGAAAAUUUGUAUGUUGUUAUUUGUUAAUAGUGACCAUGAUUGUAUUUUUCAUUUUUUUUAAUUUUUAAUCAAACAUUUAAAAUACAAAUUAGUUUUUCUUUUAAAUGAAUAAACCAAAAAAAAUAAACAAAUUAAAAACUACAUCGUCAAAAGUUUACUACCAAAUUUAAUUCAAAAGUAAAUGAAAAACUUAAAUUGAAUUGAGAUCACCAUUUGACUAGUUCAUAUCUAAAUCUUAAAACUAGGAUAGUUUUGGUCUAGAUUAAUACAAUCUAAAAUAUAUAUUUAGUUAAAGUGAAUUUGACCAGUUUGUGAUGUUUUUUAUUUUGCUAAUAAUUAAUAUUUAGUAGCUUUGGUUAAGCAUAGGAAGAAAACCACAAAAAAUAGUUCACAAACUACAUUUGUGAAACUUUGAAGAGCUAUUGAGUUUUUCAUCUAACAAACAUCGAAAUUUGAUUACUACAAAAACUUAUUAAAUUUAUUUAUAGAUAGAUUUUCUUAUAUACCUAAACUAUAAAAUUGGAUAAACCAAACUAAUAUUCACACAUUAUACUAUUUUGCGUGUUGAUUUGGAUAAACCAAAUAUAUUUAGCAUACUUUUGAGUAUUUGAGUUCAUAAUAUUUUAGAAAGUCAAUAUUUUUACAUACUUAUUGUCUUUAUAUAGUUUAGUAAAAUUGGACAAAUGAUAAAAAUCUCAUGACCGAUUAUCGCACAAUCAUUUUGUUUUGUUUUUAGUUUUUUUAAAUUGACUGCCAUUGGUGUUUUAACAUUAAGUUUUUUUUUUGCUUAAAGUCUUUUUUUUUAGUCUAGGCACAUUGAAGUAUUUUUUUUAACAUUAAGUAUUUUUUGCUUAGAGUCUUUGUCCAAACACAUAGAAGUCUGUUUAAGUUGUGUACAAUUUUAGCGAUCUAAAAUUCUGUGUAAUUUGGAGUGGUGUUAGCCCGCCCAUCCGGAGAUGCUAUCAACAAUACAAAAAAUAACGCUUUGAAAUGUUAGCAACGCAGAUUAAAGGUGUAGGCAUUGGUUGAGACGUUAGUACUUGUGCAAAUAAUUCCUGAUCUUUUUCCAAUAUUUGGUUUUCGUCAAAGCUUCACCAUCCUCCAUAAGUCUUUUAACAUCCAAGUGUUAGUGUAAAGUGACUAGUGGCUACUCUAAUAGCCAAGAUUUUAGAUAAGAAAUUUGAAAUUUUUUGCAUAUUUGCUGUGUCAAGACAUAAAGCAUGGUUUUGGAGGCAAAAACUGAUUCAAACAUCCAUAAGAGUUCAAAGUUGGCAGGGCUAAAAGAUUUAUAUAAGAAGUGAUCAUACAGUUUGUUAAGGUUUCAAAUGUCCAUAUGAAUUCCACUAGUGUUGGGUUGGCUGUCCAGAGGCAUGUACUGCGCCAUGAUUGUCCGAAUCUCUGAGUCCAUGUAACUCUGUAAACAUGUAAUACGGUUCUUUUGGUUAUUCAAAAAUUAUUGACAUCUAGAUGAAUACAGAUGCCAAAAUCUUGAGAACUCUAAGAAACAGACAUUUACCCUGAUUCUGUACUUGUAGAUGGCAUAUCCUGUAAGAGUCGCAGCAGCUGAUGCAAGUAGGAGAAUCCACAGAAAGCUCCAGCUUAGUUUCAUCGCUCCGAAUUUUCCUGCUCAUCAAAGAAUUCAGGCUAUAGUGGGAGUUUUCAUAUUGAAUGGCAACAUUUCGAGGCCGCAUUUUAAAUAUGGAUUACCAAUGCAAGUAUCAUGCUCACGCAAGUAAAACAAACCCUUCCCGCAGCUGCAUUCAUAACUUCCCCAUGUGUUCUUGCAUUUACACUCAGGGCACUGGCAAGCCACUUUCUCUUUGCACUCAUCCACAUCUGCCAAUGCAGCCCAACAGAACAACCGAAAAAGAUGAUUGUGAGAUCGAUAUCUUUUACCAAGUUAGCUACUAAGUUACACACGCUUCACUAGUACCUUCACAGCUCUCUACUCCGUCGCCCUUGAACCCAGGCGGGCAUUUGCAUCCACUUGAAUGAUCAUCCUAGAGAAUCCAUUAAAGAAAAGAGUUUCUUUUACAUUCAAGAAAGUGGUUGUAAAGAUAUUAUUAGACGUUACUUACUUGGGAAUGACAUAGAUGUCAAAAUACUUACAAGGCAAGCAGAGUAUGUGUAGACACCUCGUGUUUCUCUCCAGCAUCCUCCAUUGUUGAUUCCACAGCGCAAAGCUCCAGAGGCUGUCCACACGUACGAACCGGAAGCAGAAAAAUUCUAUUAAAAAAGUUGCGUAUUCUAUUCUACUGAAUCACAUAGAUUUUAACUUAGGAAGACCAGUCAAAAGUUACAAAUAGCAGCAAUGCCAAAAUGUCUCAAACCUCACUGAGUAAACAGAGUUUACCUUUGCAAUGAGUGUAACCAUCACCAACAAAUUUGACACCUUGAACAGUAGGGCACUCACACAGUCUUCCCCUGAAAGUAUCCUAAAAUACCAUUUCAGAACAAAGCAAGAGCAAUCAGAUUCAGCACCAACAAUAAAACAAAAAAAAAGAAGCAAAAAAAGAAGAGAAGUUCAAGCCCAAGUGGAUACCAGGCAUGCAGUAAUGUUAGCAGCUUUGUCUUGCCAGCACCCACCAUUGUUUUCUAAACACUCAUUGGUGUUUUGAUCUGCAAACAUAUAACAAACAGCCAAACAAAUAAAAAAAACCAAGUUAUUGAAAAUCUAAAUAACAAUGUUUCACGAUAAUCUUUCAGAGAAAUGUUUCAGGGUAAAUAAUAAUGUGACCUUCAGUUAGACAUAUUGCUGGUUCUGUUGUCUCUUGAAACCCCGCACAUAAAGCUUUGAGCACUGCUCCUUUUUCCAACUUACCUUAAACCACCGACAAAAAUCGAAUCAGAAACAGUAAAAUAGGGAAAAAAUGCUUUGGUUAUAACUACACUAAAUAUGGGUAUGAGUACCUCUGUAUUGCCUGUUGUUGACCACAAGUGUUGGGAGGAUAGUCACGUCUCCACGGGAAUCUUUGCCUACCUGAAUUAGACUUGUUUCAGAACACUUAAUGAAGAGGCUAAUAUAUUUCAAUAAGCUCCACAUUAGUUAUGAGUCAAUUGUCUCCCAAAAUAAAGACAAACCUGUGACUCCUGCUCUGCUUUAAGAACUGGAUUCUCCACAUCUGCCUCAGGGUCUCCAAUACACUCGUCUACCUUCUUGAGAUCAAUGCCUUAAACCACAUCACAGAAACAAAAUGUAUAAUCAGCUUAUUAGUUGGAAAUAAUAUAGGGCAAAAAACUCAUAAGCUAAUGAAAGCAAUACACUCACCAAGUGACUUGAUAACUUCAUCUGCGCAUUCCUUUGUGUACUUGUUAUCUUUCAUGGGACACCUUACAGAAAAGUCAGUCACAUAGUCCCACCAGAUCCAUGGCUUACCGGUCUCAUUAACCACUCUAUAAACACAAGCGUGGCGUAAAUUCUGAACAACAACAUCUUUUCCAUCGUAACCUCUACUAAAAUCCUGCUCAGGAUCCGGAGCACAGUACCUUCCAUGAUUGAUACACUGAGACUUGCACUGUUUACUCAACCGAAAAGCCUUGGGGCAAUACCAAGUGAUGAAAUGUGGUGUGAACUGAGUAUACCCUCCUUUCUCAAGAAUCUGAGCUGCUCCUUUAAAGUUCUUGAGAAACUCAAUCUGAGUAUCACAUUUCUUGCCGCACUCGUCGUUGCUAUCGGUCCAGAGCUCGUAUUCAACACGCUCGUCGGGAUGUGGAACAGACUCGGUCCAGUCUAGGUUCAUGUUAACCAUAUUACCAUCAGACAGAGCAGACUUUAUGCUGUCUCCCAGCGAUUUGCUUAUCAGAGCAGAAGGAAUGGUAAUCUUGUCGAGAUAAUCCGCAUCAGCAUUGUCUUCUUCAGGUGUAUCCAUUGUGAUUAAUGGCUCGAGUUUGUUAUCUGCCACCAGAAUCGCAGCUGCCCCUGCUUGCUGAGCGUUCCAUGCCUUCAAAGUGAAAUAGCAAUCUGUUCAUAGAGAAGUAAGAAGGAAACAAAUUUAAGAGUCUAAGCCACUCUACAAGCCACACAAGGAAAGAAAAAAAAAAAACAGAGUUGAAACAGAGUAACAAAACAGAGAUUUUGUAAUCAGCUCAUUAACAUAAAGCCUCGAACUAAUUAACUAACUGUUUAACCACUAGCAAACUCAGUUAAAACACUAAAAAUCAAAACUUUAUCAAGAAAGCUAGCAAAUUUAAUGUGACAUAGAAAAGAAGUAUGAACCUCCUCGAUCAAUAAGAAGGAAAGUGGGUAAUCUCCCAGGUGUGGAUUUGAAGGAGACACCGAAUUCGCUGAAGCUCUUACAAGCCUUGUGGUUCGAUACGGGAUGCACGACGGCUCCGACAAGUGUUCCACCGUAUUUUGGAAUUCCAAAAUUCCCAAUUGCACAUUCGUAAACACCUUUGAUGGUCUCUGGUGACGUCACUUUCAGAUUGUUCUUCUCCACCAGAAAUUUACCCAACGCAAGUUGCAAGAUGAGAACAAACGAGAGUGUUAUAACCCCAAACUUCUCCUUCAUGAUUUCUAAUCAAGCACCAACUAUAUAAGAGGCAAAACCACUGGAUCAAAUCAAGCUUGAUCUUUUGGCAAAGGAUCAAGCAAGGUUAGAAUUUUUAAUGGGUUCUUCAAACUAAAUGCAGUGAUGGGAAUAAGUUAAGCAGAAGAGACUUCUAAAUUAGUUAUUGUUCAUUGUAUAAAAGGAGAUUGUUGUUUUUUGUUGGAAAAAAAAAAAGUGUAUAGAGUUCAAAUUUUAGAAUGCAUGGGAAGUACGUGUUUCUCGUCGGUGUUUAGCACGAGGACGUCUAAGAGUGGGUCCUUGUCUUGCCUUCAUCUCUCACGUGUUGUCCAUUUUCAGAGUUUUUAUUUUGUUUUGCUAAAUAUUUUGGUGCAUCCAUUUAGAAAGUUUUUUUUUUGGUAAGAAAGGUUAUCCAUUUCAAAGUUCACUCUCUUUUCUUACGUCAACGUGAUAUAUGCCUAAAUUUGCGGUGUCUAUUUGUCACUCUAACUGGAAAAAUCCUUUCUAGAUAAUUGUUGAAACUAUAGAAGGAUUAUUGGAUCAAUUAUUCAAAGUUAUAUAUCUUUGACACCCUAACUCGAAAAAUCCUUUCUAAAUAUUUGUAGAAACUAUAGAAGGACGACUAACCCUUUUGACCAAAAAAAAAACAUAGAAGGAUUUAUUGGAUCAAUUAUUCAAAGAUUAUCUAUGCUUUUAAAUAGAAUGCCUUUUAUCAAAAAAAGAAGAAGUUAUUUAUACAUGAUCUAAAAUUAUUCAAAAAAAGUAAUCUAGAAUUGUCCAAAAUUAUCUAUGCUAAAAUCUUGAUAACAUUUAAAAAAGAGUUUUAUGUGUGUGGAUCCUUGUACAUUAUAUCAUUUAUGUUGUAAACAGACUAAAAAAUAGGAAAGUAUUAUUUCAUUUUUCAUAAAAGAAGGCAAAACAAACAAUAACAACUCUGGCCCAAUUAUGGCCUGAUUUGGCCCAUGCUUGAUGUAGUAAUCUCGGAGCAGAAGCGUGAAUCUAGUAGUAUCCAUAGACUCAGCCACGUGAUCGAAACCGUUGAUUCUCUAAGGUUUUAACUGAAACCGUUGAUCACAUCUCCUCAGUUAUAUAAAUAAAUAAGGAACACUGUUUCACUCCGUAAUCUCUAUCUUCUCCGUCGCGACCAAAACGAAGCUCCGCCGAACAAAUCUCGUAAUCUUUUCUAUCCUUCCUCCAUUCUUCUUCAAUCGCUACUUGAGCUUUUUUGGGGUUUUUUCUUUUUUUCUUUUUGUUCUGAGUCGGCUUCGAUCUGCCGGUGUUUUUGCUCUGUGGAGCUAGGGAUUCGAGGGACGAUGGAAACUGAAUUGAUUGAAUUGUUCGAGGGGGCAAAAAAGGCGGCCGAUGCGGCAGCUCUCGACGGUGUUACCUCCUCAGGUCCGGAGAUUUCUCAAUGUCUCGAUGCCCUGAAGCAACUCAAGAAGUUUCCUGUCACAUACGACACGCUCGUUGCGACUCAGGUUCGUUCCCGAUUCAUCUCUUUACGCUAGAAAAAUUUGUUAUUUUUCAUUUAAGGAAACGUCCUUAUUUCGUUUUCGACUGAUACGGUGUGUUGAUUGGAGGAUUUUAUGAGUGUUGCUUGCCUAAUCUCGUAGCAUUGACUUGUGUUAUUAGGGUUAUUUGAUUUUAUCUGAAAAAAAAAAAACUUGCAGAAAUUUGAAACGAUUUCACUUUAAUCAAGAGAUGAAGAAGCUUGAACAAAUUGCUUAGUGUUUUGUAUGAGACGUCCGACUAAAAUUAUUGGAACAAACCCUAAGAUUUCCCUUAUUUACAGAAUGAAUUAAGUCAUGCAUUUGAAAAUACAUCUUUUGUUCUGGUUAGGAGAUUGUAUUCAAGUGUGCGCUGAUUUUUUAUUCUUUACGCUACAAAAAUUUGUUAUUUUUCAUUAAGGAAACGUCCUUAUCUCGUUUUCGACUGAUACGGUGUGUUGAUUGGAGGAUUUUGAUGAGUGUUGCUUGCCUAAUCUCGUAGCAUUGACUUGUGUAAUUAGGGUUAUUCGAUUUCAUCUGAAAAAUAAAGAAAAAGACUUAUAGAAAUUUGAAACGAUUUCACUUUAAUCAAGAUAUGAAGAAGCAUGAACAAAUUGCUUAGUGUUUUGUAUGAGACGUCCGACUAAAAUUAUUGGAACAAACCCUUAAAAGAUUUCCCUAUUUACAGAAUGAUUUAAGUUAUUUGAAAAUACACCUUUUGUUCUAGUUAGGAGAUUGUAUUCAAGUGUGCGCUGAUUUUCAGUUAAGCUUAUUGUUGAUUCUCUAUCCCCUGGAAUGUUGAUCUUGUUUGUUCUGCUUUAGAGAAAGUUAUAUCCUUUUUCUUGCUUCCAGGUAGGGAAGAAGCUGAGGUCUCUUUCAAAACAUCCUGUUGAGGAAAUCAAAAGCGUAGCUACUGAUCUGCUUGAGAUAUGGAAGAAAGUUGUUAUUGAAGAGACAUCCAAGGCUAAGAAAAUCGGAAGCACAAACGGUGUCAAAUCUGAAACUGCCAAAGACGGUAAGAUAGAUAGGAAGGAUGUUGAGAGGACUUCCAAUCCCGCGCCGGUAAAAGUCCAGAAACUUCAAAGGGGUGAUUCAGCUAAGAGUAUCAAGGUAGAGAAAAAGGAACCAGACAACAAAGUCGGUGCAAAGAUAGAGAGAAAGGAACAAGACAACAAAGUCAAUACCGGAGCCAAGUUAGAUCAUCGUGGUCAGACUGUCAAGGAUGAAAAGGUCUCAAAGGAGAACCAAUCAAGUACGAAAGCUCCUGCUAAAUCACCUAAUGCUCCUCCAAAGCUAACUUCAAUGCUCAAAUGCAAUGAUCCCGUGCGUGACAAAAUCCGUGAGAUGCUUGUGGAGGCACUGUCAAGGGUUCAUGGAGAAUCUGAUGAGUACGAUAGAGAGAAAGUGAAUGGAUGUGAUCCAUUCCGCGUUGCUGUCUCAGUGGAAUCUCAUAUGUUUGAGAAAUUAGGCCGCUCAACCGGAGCUGAGAAGGCCAAGUACAGAUCUAUAAUGUUCAACCUGAGGGACAGUAACAACCCAGACUUAAGAAGGAGAGUUCUUACCGGGGAGGUGCCACCAGAGAAACUCAUCACACUGUCCGCUGAAGAAAUGGCAAGCGACAAGAGGAAACAAGAAAACAACCAGAUCAAAGAGAAAUUCCUGUUUAAUUGUGAGCAGGGUCCUGCACCAAAAGCAAGUACGGACCAGUUCAAGUGCGGGCGGUGUGGUCAGCGCAAAUGCACCUACUAUCAGAUGCAAACAAGGAGUGCUGAUGAGCCGAUGACGACUUAUGUUACAUGUGUUAACUGCAACAACCACUGGAAGUUCUGUUGAGGUGAGAUCUCUGUGUGUUCUUUUUAUUCCAUGAUACCAUGUUGUUAAGACAUAGAGGCUAUUUGAUUAAUUUAUCAAGAGCCUCAUGUCCAUUUGCCGGCAUUCUGAGAAUGUUCUGGCUCUGAUGUUUGUUUAAGCAUACCAUUUCAGUGUCCUAGAGAUUAGUUAGUAGGGGAGUUUACUAAUUUAGGUGUUUGUAGCUUUUAUUUCUUUUGCGUCUUUUAUUUCAGAAUGUCAAACUCAUCAACUUUCUUUCACAUUUUAUCAAAUUUUUGAUUUUAGACUUGUAUGUAUCUUUUUUUGUCUCUUCUUUUAUCAUAUUGAACGGUUGAACCUUUCACAGCCUCUAAUGUAUAUGUGUUAUGGAUCGAAAAGUUUCGUCUCCAAAGUAAGGGACCGAUGAAAAAACAGAGGAUAUUGUGGCAUAAAUAAGCUAAGUUCUUGUUGCAUUAAACAGAGGAUAUUGUGUCAAUGUGAACUCGAAUGUAUGUGUUAUUGACCGAAAAGUAGCAUCAAUAGAUAAGCUAAUUUCCUCGUUGCAUUAGACCAUUACUGUCAUUGUAAACUCGAACUUUAUUUGAACAAGACUUUUCUUUACAUUUUCUCUAUCAGACAGCCGAAGAUGUAAGUCGACAUGAAUUGCAAACAAUGAAUACAAUGACUUCUAACCGAAUAUUUCCCAUUCUUCAUCGUCCAAAUUUCUCUUCUUUCGGCUGAAUCUAUUAUUGCUUCUCCUUUGCCGUCUUCUAUCAGAUGAACCGUCAAGCUCUUCAACGUCAGAGUACUCACUACCAAACUGAGCAUCCCAAAGACCCUGUUUUCAAAAGUCUUUCUUCAAAUAAUCCAUUUAAGAGUAUAUGGAAAUUCUCAAACCAUGACAUUACAAGACAAAUACCUUUGUCAACCUCUGUUUUCUAGAAGCCGCAGCUUCGUGAACCACAACUAUGUCUUCGAAGACCUCGAUUAUGUCCUCGACAUGUAACCUGUAUGUACUCACCUGCAUCAUCACAGACACAGUUUAUCAUUCUAUACUUGGAUUAGAUGCUUGUAUCUCACAUCAACCAUAUUUGGGCUAAGUUACCCACCAAGCUUGAUGGUAUGAUGGUUACCCCGAACGAAUCAAGCUCAAGCGAUUCAACUAUACCCGAGUUAAUGUUAAAUGAGUAACCUCGAACCUGAAAUCAAUCCUUUGCUUUCAGCUAGUAAACAAGAUAUUGGGCAAAGAGACAGAUCUCAUCACUGAAUAAGAUCUAGGAAGAUUAUAAACACCUUUCCGAUGUUACGCCCUCCUGGUGUCACUACUCUGUAACCUACCUAAACAGAAAGUGAGAAAUCAAUCUUAGACUUGCUUAAAGGUAGGUGAUUCACAAGACAACGAACUAAAGAGACUCAAUUGAUCUAUACCAGUGUUUCAAGCCCAACCAUUUUAAAUUCAGUAUCCAUUACAGCCUCAUCUUCCACAAGCACAACAUCACCCACCUACAGAGAUGUUGACAUAAACUGAGAUGUGAACACAUUUCCAGAGGAAGCCAGUUCAAUGUAGUAGAAAGCAAAUGUAGUACCCGGACAAUGUCUUUGAGCAGGAAUCUCUCAGAUUCUCCAGAUAGCAAGCUGGGCUUAACAUCAACCACCAAAACCAACCACUGAAAAUCGACAAAACUAAUCGUGAAUGAUGGAGCUCCUAUUGUACAUAAACAGUCUCAGUAUAAGACUUGUUAGCUUCCCAAACUCGGCAAAAGAGACAAACUUUGAAACUCGCAAGUGAAAAAAAUUAUUGCUUGAAAGGUGAAUCGAUUCAACAAGAACUUACAGAGGAAGUGUCAACCCACAGCUGAGAGAUAAACCCUAAACUCAGAGCUGAUUGUAUACUAAUAACUUGCUUAGCAACAAGAUUCGAUCUCGUCGUCGUCUGUUUAAACCCUUUCGAGCCAGUGUUUAUCGGAUCGUUUUCACCUACUAGCCGAAUCAAAUCACCAUCUCGAGGAAACUCUGCACCAUCGUUUUCGAGGAAACCCGAAGGAGAAGAAUCCACUACAUCUUCUUUCAAGCAAGAGACGAAUCCGUCGCUCGAUUUCUCUUUAAAGCUGAAUUUCCCGAGAAAGGCUGAGUUUUUGGAAUCAACCGCACCAGAAUAAAAUCGAGAUCUUGUUUUUGACGAGGAAAGGUUUUUAAUCUCAUGGAUUGAGACGUGAAUCCUCCCGGAUGUAUUGAUGAUCCAAUUUUGAAUCCGUCUACAAUUCUCUGAACUGGGUCGAGCAUUGAGGACGGGAAAAGAAAGGUAAAAGGAAGAGGAGCAAUUGCACAUAGCUAGAGAAGAGCCCUAGAAUUCAGCACAGAAGAAGAGCCGCUUCAAGCUUUAGUUUUGAUGAAGACAACAUGCGAUGUUUGCAAAUGUAUCUGUUGUCGGAGUAGCCACAAAAAGGAUAAAGAUGAGAAAUAUUUGCAAAUUAUCUAAUUGUGGUUUUGCCAAUUCUGCUUCAAGUAUGUGCAGAUUUUUUGCUCAAGUGAGAAGGGUCCAAGAGAAAUGAGCUACAAUGUAGUCUUGAAAAGCUCCAUCUUUAAGAAAAAACGGUUCCGAUAAUUUCUCGAGGUUUCAGAGAACGACUUGAAUCGUGUCGUAGUUGCCCAUUCUAAACGUUUUUCCUUUUUUUUCCAUUUCUUGAGCUGAAAAGAUUAAUAAUCUCUGAAUUGUACUGAAACCAACGAUUAGAGAAUAAGAUGUACAAAAUGGAUUAACUUUCAUUUAAUUUUUUUUUUGUCUCAAUGAAAACGAGUUAACAUAAGGACAUGUUAAAAGAAAAAAAAACGAGUUAACAAAAAGUAAGAAAUUAAUUAGUAUCAAAUGACUCUUGUUCGCUCGGACUAAAGAAAAAAUUGACCUUUUUUUCUCUUUUGUCCUUUCCUCGGAAAAUCUCAAACGCUAAGUUUUCGUCUCGAAUUUGCGCAUUCGCCUCGUUUCACCAUCCUUUGUCGCAGAGUGAGCAUACCCAACACGCAUUUCUCAUUUCUCGCCUCAAAUUCGAUUUCUUUCUCUCUUUCUUAUUAAUAUUCUUCUCAAUGUGCAUUCAGAUCUGACUUCUUAAUUUUUGUUUUCCCGGAGUUUGAUGAGGGAAAGUUUAGAGUCGCUUGAUGAAUUUAUUUCAAUCCUUAAACUGAUUGCGUUUUGGAAGCUGGAUCAGGUAUGGAUGAUGAGAAGAAGAAAAAGCGAAACAAGAAGAAGAAGACCAAGCUCAAUAAUAAACGUGCAGACGACGCUAUAGCUGCCGGAGCCGUGACCUCGGAGGAUGGGAAUCAUAUCGGAGACGGUGACAUUGCUCAAAUUAGUCAAGUCCCAGAUUCCAAUGAAGUGCAACCGUGUCACCAGGUCAAUGUCGUCGUCGAAACUGUAAGUUUCAUAUAUUCUUAGAUCGAUGGAACAUCGCUAUAGAUUGCUUCUCAUUUUCAAUUAAACAUUCUGUGACUAUUGUCUUCUUUUGAUUUGAUUGGAGUUGAUACGACAUUUGGUAUAAUUUGAUUGACUUCUUAGUUUAUAUGUCAAUGCAGUUGGGUAUUGUACUAUUGUUAGACAUUAUAUAUACCACAUUGAAUGAUUGAUUGAUUGAAUGCAAUUUGUUUCAUUUGUUGAAUGGAUUCGUCACUCUUUGGGUGUUUGCUUAUUGUAACCAAUGUGUCUACUUGUAAAUUGUAAUCCAUCUUGGUUUGUAUAGAGAUGAUAGACAAGACAACAACAUAAAAUAUUGAAUGGGAUAGUGCAUGAGCUUCAUGAUCUGACACUGUUAAAUCUUCUUAUUUCAAGCAGGCAGAUGAAUCUGGUGUUGAGAACAAGCCUCUGACCAGUGAGGUCAGAUUUCUCAAUGUGUCUUGUAUCGUUAUUUGGUGCAAGUCUUUGCGUAAACUGGGGGUUUUGUUGAGUCUCUUCUGCAGAGUAGAUUACUGUCGUUUUGACCGGCUAAUGUAUAAGAGAAAGAUCUAAUAACAACAAGAACAAAAAUGCUUGUUAUCUUGAAGAGUCUCUUGUUUUCUUUUCUAUCUAUUCACUUGAAUCUCAGAACUAGUUUGUAAUGCUGUUGUAGGCGUUACUGGAAGAAACAAUCAAACAGUUACGUGAUGAAAAUGGAUCAUACCUUCAGAAAGAGGUGAUAUUCUCUUACCAAGCCUUUUUUCUUUUUAUUAGUUUUCCUAAGGAAACCUCUCCACCACCUGUCAUGGUUAUUUUUGUCUCGGUGGAAUAGUAAAAAUUGAAUUGCCAUGUCUUAAUAGGCUGGUUUUGAAGAAACUGUUAAACGCUUGGAAACUGAGAAUGAAGCUCACGUACAAAAAGAGGUUAGUGAAGAAUAGAGUAAAGCCCUUUUCACACUUUGUCGUUAUCCUGCUUCGUCUGCAAGCUGAAAGGUAAAAAUAUUAUGGUGUUUCACAGGCACUGCUAGAAGAAAGGCUUGUGCUUUUGAAAACAGAAAAUGAAGCUCACAUACAAAGUGAGGUUAGUGAAGAAAUAGCAUAUAGCCGUAUCGAUAGCUUGCUACUUUGCUCCAUUAUUUGCAAGCUGAAGGUCAAAAUAACAUGUUGUUUCAGGCACUUUUAGAAGAAAGGCUAUUGAAUUUGAGAACAGAGAAUGAAGCUCACAUACAAAAUGAGGUUGGUGAAGAAAUAGCAUAAAUCCGUAUUCGUAAAUUUGCUGUUUUGCUGCAUUAUCUGCGAGCUGAAGGUCAAAAUAACGUGGUUUUUCACAGUCACUGUUAGAAGAAAGGCUCUUGCAUAUGAAAACUGAGAAUGAAGCUCACAAACAGAACGAGGUUAGUGAAGAAAAUAGCAUACAGUUGUGUGCAUAGCUUUGUUAUUUUGUUGGAUCAUCUGCAAGCUAGAGGUCAAAAUAACAUGGUGUUUCACAGGCACUUUUAGAAGAAAGGCUCUUGAAUUUGAAAACUGAAAAUGAUGCUUACAAACAGAACGAGGUUAGUGAUUAGUGAAGAAAAUUGCAUACAGCUGUGUGUAUAGCUCUGUUAUUUUGUUGAAUUAUCUGCAAGCGGAAGGUCAAAGUAACAUCGCGUUUACCCAGGAAAAGUUGGAGGAAAGACUUGUGCAGUAUAAAACAAAGAACGACAUGCUUGUUCGUGAAAUGGUGAGACAUCAUCAAAUCUGGGAGCGUUCUUUAGUACCUAUUGUUUCUCCUUUGUGUGAUCAUAUGCGAGUUACUUUUAUCUCUUCAACUUGGUUUGCUUCCUCCUAAUUUUCUCUUCGUAUGCAAUAGGAAUUGGAUCACCGGUAUUUAGCAUCAAAUCAGAAGAUGAAUGCUAUUAAGAGGGAUAAAUAUUACUACUCUCACAAGUUGAUAGAGAAUGAAAUUUGAUCUUGACUAACGUAAAAGAAAGUCAUGUUGUCAGGACAUAUCAGAUUGCUAUUAGAUGUCACGUUAGAUUUCAUAUGGAGGAACCUGUUAUAUGUAGUUCCUAAAGUUUAUAUAAAUUUGGCAGGCUAGUACAGAAGUCAAAAUGAGCCAAUUGCUAGACGAAAUAUCUACAUUCUCUCAGAAAGAGGUAUGUCUCCAUUCAUUGGAAGAUAACAGUUGCUUCUUCUUCUGUAACUGUUUAUGAUGCAUUCUCGUCGCAUAACCUUUGUCAAAAUUGCAUGAUGUCAAUCAGGCGAGUCUAGAAAAGAAAGUUCAACAACUUCAACAUGAUGAAGAAUCCUCGGUGGCUGUGGAGGUAACUCUAUCUGACACUAGAAAGCUUGAUACCCAUUCUUAAGUAAAAGUGUCUUAAGAGUUAGAAUAAGAUCGCCAUGGUUUACUCAUCAUAGACCUUCAAUCUUGCAGAAGUCAUCCCGAGAAAUGAUUUCUAGCCUGAACAUUGAAAUUGCAAGACUGCGAGCACAGGUAUGUGUUUCAUCUAUUAAUUUGAACUUUGAAUGAUUCUCUCAUUUCACGAGUGGUUCAUGAAUUGCAUAUGAGUGUGUUACUGUAGUCUCUUAGUGAAUGUUUACUGCUUUUACUCGUGUAAAACAGGAAGCCUUUAAGGAUAGUACUGCAUAGAUUUAGUCUGAUAUGAACAUUAAAACAAAGUUUGGCAGGUUAUGGAGUUGGAAGAAUCUAGGAGUAAGAUUCUGGAGCAGAAUCAGAGCCUGGUGGGAACUGUAUCCAAUCUCCAGGUCCAGCAUGAAAACCAUGAGAGUAACGCGAAGGUUAGGCUUUGAACACUCCCAGUAUGCAAGAUUCUAAAUUCUAAAACUUUAACGUAAGCCUUUCCAAUGAAGGUUUAGAAAUGUAUGAAACGGUUUCUAUUGGUUGAUAUAGGGUGCUUCUGAGGAAGAAUUAAACUCACAGAUUGAAGCAGCUUGUGCUCUAGUUGAAAAGCUUAUCACUGAAAAUGCUGAACUUGUUGAAAAGGUAACGUGUACUGCCAUAGAUCGUAUUGAGUUAUGUUGUUGUUGGGUGAUUGAAAGUCUCACUAGUUACAUAAUUAUGACUACAUUAUCAGGUGAACGAAUUGUAUAUUAAGCUAAACCAAUCACAGCAUGCUUAUCCUUCAUCGCCUGAGAGCCUAGCAAUUGAAGUACAGAAGUCUGAAUCAUUAGAAGAAAUACCAAUACACGACGAGUUGAUUAAUAACUCUAGAGGCGUGGAAACUGCAUUCGUAGAGAGAAACUUGUCAGAAGGCGAAACAGAAAAAACAGUGCCGGUUUCUCUGAAUCCGAAUGGAGAAAUAGAUGUGGAAUCGCAGGUUGUAGUAGCUGGAGAAGGAGAAGUUAGUGUUGGUGUGCCUCUGGUGGACGCUCCACUCAUUGGUGCUCCGUUCAGGCUCGUCUCUUUUGUAGCAAGAUACGUGAGUGGUGCAGAUUUGGCGGAAAAGAAAUAGUGUGUUUGUAAAAACCCAAAACAAUACAUUGGAAGGCAGAGAAGAUGUAUCACUGCGCUAUCUCUCUCACUGAGGAUCAUUGAUUAGCUUUUUCCACAACACUUACGAUACACAUGUUUUUUUUUUUGGGCAAAACAAUACACAAUUGUAAUUUUUUUGCUAGGAUAAUGAUGAUGGUGAUGAUGACGACAGAGUGCAUCAAGUUGUCCGUUGUGAUUCUGUUUUCCUCAUUUUUCUUUCUCGGCAUUAAAAAAAAAAACAUGAGUGUAAACAUCAUCUUUAGCCAUCUGAGCAAAGACAUGAAUCAUGGAAACAGCAAACUCAAUGAGCAUAUACCAAAUUAUGUUUGAAUCUAUCGUAAAUUCCAAGCUGAGAGAUACGCGUUAGACACAAAUUAUUACACAUAGAAGUCAAAUUAUUACGCAUAGAAAAAAAAAAUAUAUAUAUAAUUGCACAUAUAUAUAUAAGACAUGCAGACCGUGUGAGAGAUUUUGAGCUCGAUUUUGAUUUAUCGGUGAGUUAGUUAGGGUCGUUAGCUUCUUUUUGGUCACUUUUUUUUGUAAAACGGAGGGAACUUUAGUCAAAUCUGGAAUUAUGAGAAAAAUAUGGUAAUUUUGGAAAGUAAAAUGUAAGAGAUUUGUAAUCUAGGGUAUUUUCUAUCAUAUCUUCCCUCUUAAAAUCACAACAUGAAAUGAUGUGAACUCUUACUUUUUUAUAUAUUUGAGAACAUCUAUUUUUUUUUUUUUUAGAAGAUGAGAGCAUCUUCCAUAAUAGGCUUGGUUGGUUAUGUUAUCUUGCAAAACUUUGAUAUUAUUAUGUGGAAGUUGAUAAGAAUAUAUAAUUUAGCUAAGAACGGGGUUAACCCAAACUGGAGGAGCUUGGCUUACAAGAACAAUAUCCAAUUUCCUUUUCUUUUGUACAACGAGCCAAACAAUCCAAUUUUUCUAUUUAAAGAGAGAAGCAAAGAACCAAAAAAAAAAAGAAACUGAAACCGAGGAAAUGACUUCCUAAAAGCACAUAACCGGUUGAGUGGCGCAUUGCCAUAACGUGCUUACAAACACCGAUCGUGAGAUAUUAUACUCUUGGGAUUGGCAUAUAAGUGGCUCAAAAUGGGAACAUCGAUCCCUCAAACAAUUAAAGAAUUCUAAAGGGAUAGAAAAAGAAGGUGUUGCGAGUGGCAUUCAAAUCUAUGAAAAUUCAAAGGGAAAGAAAUACAUGAAAAUAUAUCAAAAGGAGCGUUCAUGAGAUGAGCUCAUUGGCUAUUCUUUUUUAUUUAUUUAUGGUUAAAGCAACAACUCUUAACGAAAUUGCCCAUUUAGUAGUAGUGUUGACAACUCUUACCUCCAUUAGUUGGUUUCCUUUACAUUUUCCAUUAGAUUACUACUUACGUGUCAUCCACUUUUCUGUUGACAAAUAUAUUAAUAACAAUCCAAUAUUGCUUUGUCAGCAUCCAAUCCAUUAUUUAGUCGGUCCAAUUUUUUUUCGUUGGUCUGUGCCCAAUCCUUAAUUUUUUUUGAUAAUUACAAGACCUUCCUUGGCCCUAGCUAAGAAACUAUGUGUAUUGAAUAGGGAGACUUACAAGUUAAACAAGUUAAAACAAAACUAGAUUACCAUUAAAAAUAUUGCAGAGCUUAUCUCAAAAAAACCUCAAAUAUUGAAACCCUAAAAUUUUAGUACAAUUGACGAUGCAUGGAAAGUGCUUUCAAGUAGGUGUAUCAAAAAUAUAGAAAUAUAUAUAUAUGUAUGUAUAUUAUGUGGAAAGGAAAGACUAGUGAGCUCCUCCACCUAGUGUUAUAUACUAACUAAAAGAUACCAUGCCACUUAGUAAUGCAAAUGAUGUAUCAUUAGUACUAUAUAGUAGAGGACGGUAUGGUAUCUAUGUGGAGGAAGUGUUUUACAAUAUAAAAAGUGGCGCAUAAUUUGUGUGCUAGUGAAUUUGUGCGCUUGCUGUGUUUGACCCCAUUUAUAAAAUUUAGAAAAUAUUAUUUUAUUAAAAUUUCUUCCUUUCUUUUUUUUUUUUGUUAAAAUUACUUUUGCAUACCUCAUAAGUCAUAAGUUCUUCAGAAAAUGGUGAGACAUAGUUGAUGAAACCAGUAUCUUCUACCUAACCAAAGCUCUUUAAAUAUCACUCUAUAACUAACAUCUCCUCUUACGACUACAAUACUAAUUAAGCCGAUCCACCACCACAUCAUAGGUAUUUUUGCUGAUCUUCUUCACUUUUCUAACAUCUCCUCCUGGCAUUCUUCUUUCAUUAUUGACCCAAUACAAGCAAACUCUCUUUCUCGAUCUCUCUCUCUUUUUAUUUUGUCAAAAGAAAGUCCUCUAAUUUUGCUGUCCACUACUUUAAUUUUGGUUAUUUCAUUCUUCAUGAAUGAAAUAAUGUGGUGAAUCACAAAUGGUUAAUAAAUUUGACUUUUCAGAUGAUUCAGAGAUUAGUCUAGUUUCGGUUUAAAAUAAGUAAGUAAACAUAGAUAGCGAGUCUGACGAGACUUUAGAAUAUGUUCUUCUAGCUUUUAAUUUGCUAUAGUCAUUAUAUAUCUUUGAUCUCCAUUUUUUUCUAGGAUUUCUUUCAGUUUUGAAAUUAGCUUAAUAAAUGUAAGUGUUUGAAUUAGAAAAGGAUGCGGAAGAGAGAAAGGUUUUAUUUUCCUUCCUCAAGAAAUCAUUGUUCACUGGUCACUGGUCACUAGCUAGAGUUGCCAAUAAGCAUUUUUAUGAUCUCAAUCUAAUUUUGCAUUAAAUCUAAAGGAUAGAGAAAAGCAGAAGAAUCAAAAGCAAUGGAGAAGUACAAGAGAGAGACGUUGCUUCUCAUCUUUCUAACAAUCUCCUCGGUGGCAACGAGCACAAGUCCAGCU